CUAGAGAGCGGUGCCAGUGCUGCAAAAAGUAUAGACAUUCAAAUAUGGAGUUAAAGGACCAUCGACUCGUUCAAUAACCAUCUUAUUACGCGUCGUCCAAAAGUUCCACAUCAACGCCACGAACACUAACCAGAAGAGGCAUCUCCUCCUAUCUAUCUGAUUUGUCCAAGUCUCCAAGAAAUGACUGAUCCCACUAACAGAACAUAGCUUAGCUAGGAGUCCACCUCUUUGGAGUAACAACGACAUUGGUGAUACUGGCUGCACAACCGUCUCAUAUACUCCCUCGGUCCCUUCAGAUGAGAACAUUGUUGGAAAUAUGCCCUAGAGGCAAUAAUAAAAUGGUUAUUAUUAUAUUUCCUUGUUCAUGAUAAUUGUCUAUUGUUUAUGCUAUAAUUGUGUUAUCCGGAAAUCGUAAUACAUGUGUGAAUGCAUAGACUAUAACAUGUCCCUAGUGAGCCUCUAGUUGACUAGCUCGUUGAUCAAUAGAUGGUUACGGUUUCCUCACCAUGGACAUUGGAUGUCACUAAUAACGGGAUCACAUCAUUAGGAGAAUGAUGUGAUGGACAAGACCCAAUCCUAAGCAUAGCACUAGAUCGUGUAGUUCGUUUGCUAAAGCUAUUCUAAUGUCAAGUAUCAUUUCCUUAGACCAUGAGAUCGUGCAACUCCCGGAUACCGUAGGAAUGCUUUGGGUGUACCAAACGUCACAACGUAACUGGGUGGCUAUAAAGGUGCACUACAGGUAUCUCCAAAAGUGUCUGUUGGGUUGGCACAGAUCGAGACUGGGAUCUGUCACUCCGUAUGACGGAGAGGUAUGUCUGGGCCCACUCGGUAUUGCAUCAUCAUAAUGAGCUCAAUGUGACUAAGUAGUUAGUCACGGGAUCAUGCAUUACGGAACGAGUAAAGUGACUUGCCGGUAACGAGAUUGAACGAGGUAUUGGGAUACCGACGAUCGAAUCUCGGGCAAGUAACGUACCGAUUGACAAAGGGAAUUGUAUACGGGAUUACUUGAAUCCUCGACAUCGUGGUUCAUCCGAUGAGAUCAUCGAGGAGCAUGUGGGAGCCAACAUGGGUAUCCAGAUCCCGCUGUUGGUUAUUGACCGGAGAGUCGUCUCGGUCAUGUCUGCGUGUCUCCCGAACCCGUAGGGUCUACACACUUAAGGUUCGGUGACGCUAGGGUUGUAGAGAUAUUAGUAUGCGGUAACCCAAAAGUUGUUCGGAGUCCCGGAUGAGAUCCCGGACAUCACGAGGAGUUCCGGAAUGGUCCAGAGGUAAAGAUUUGUAUAUAGGAAGUCCAGUUUCGGCCACCGGAAAAGUUUCGGGGGUCACCGGUAUUGUACCGGGACCACCGGAAGGGUCCCGGGGGUCCACCGAGUGGGGCCACCUAUCCCGGAGGGCCCCAUGGGCUGAAGUGGGAAGGGAACCAGCCCCUGGUGGGCUGGUGCGCCCCCCAUGGGCCUCCCCCUACGCCUAGGGUUGGAAAGCCUGAGGGUGGGGGCGCCCCACCUGACUUGGGGGGCAAGUUCCUCCCUUGGCCGCCCCCCCCUUGAGAUUGGAUCUCUAGGGGUCGGCGCCCCCCCCAGGGCCCCUAUAUAAAGAGGGGGUAGGGAGGGCUGCACACCCAAGCCCCUGGCGCCUCCCUCUCCCCCCAUAACACCUCUCCCUGCCGAGAUCCCCGCUGCUUCCACCACCACGCCGUCGUGCUGUUGGAUCUCCAUCAACCUCUCCUUCCCCCUUGCUGGAUCAAGAAGGAGGAGACGUCUCUCCCAACCGUACGUGUGUUGAACGCGGAGGCGCCGUCCGUUCGGCGCUAGGAUCAUCGGUGAUUUGGAUCACGACGAGUACGACUCCAUCAACCCCGUUCUCUUGAACGCUUCCGCUUGCGAUCUACAAGGGUAUGUAGAUGCACUCCUCCCCUCUCGUUGCUAGUAAACUCCAUAGAUUGAUCUUGGUGAUGCGUAGUAAAUUUUAAUUUCUGCUACGAUCCCCAAUAGUGGCAUCAUGAGCUAGGUCUAUGCGUAGUUUCUAUGCACGAGUAGAACACAAGUUGUUGUGGGCGUUGAUUUUGUCAAUUUACUUGCCGUUACUAGUCUUAUCUUGAUUCGGCGGCAUCGUGGGAUGAAGCGGCCCGGACCGACCUUACACGUACGCUUACGUGAGACAGGUUCCACCGACUGACAUGCACUAGUUGCAUAAGGUGGCUAGCGGGUGUCUGUCUCUCCCACUUUACUCGGAUCGGAUUCGAUGAAAAGGGUCCUUAUGAAGGGUAAAUAGAAAUUGGCAUAUCACGUUGUGGUUUUGGCGUAGGUAAGAAUCGUUCUUGCUAGAAACCUAUAGCAGCCACGUAAAAGUUUGCAACAACAAUUAGAGGACGUCUAACUUGUUUUUGCAACAAGUGUCAUGUGAUGUGAUAUGGCCAGAAGGAUGUGAUGAAUGAUAUAUGUGAUGUAUGAGAUUGAUCAUGUUCUUGUAAUAGGAAUCACGACUUGCAUGUCGAUGAGUAUGACAACCGGCAGGAGCCUAGGAGUUGUCUUAAUUUAUUUAUGACCUGCGUGUCAACUGAAACGUCAUGUAAUUACUUUACUUUAUUGCUAACCGUUAGCCAUAGUAGUAGAAGUAAUAAUUGGCGAGACAACUUCAUGAAGACACGAUGAUGGAGAUCAUGAUGAUGGAGAUCAUGGUGUCAUGCCGGUGACGAUGAUGAACAUGGUGCCCCGAAGAUGGAGAUCAAAAGGAGCAAAAUGAUAUUGGCCAUAUCAUGUCACUAUUUGAUUGCAUGUGAUGUUUAUCAUGUUUUACAUCUUAUUUGCUUAGAACGACGGUAGCAUAAAUAAGAUGAUCCCUCGCUAAAAUUUCAAGAAAGUGUUCCCCCUAACUGUGCACCGUUGCGAAGGUUUGUUGUUCCGAAGCACCACGCGAUGAUCGGGUGUGAUAGGUUCUAACGUUCGCAUACAACGGGUGUAAGCCAGAUUUACACACGCAAUACACUUAGGUUGACUUGACGAGCCUAGCAUGUACAGACAUGGCCUCGGUACACAAGAGACCGAAAGGUCGAACAUGAGUCGUAUAGCAGAUACGAUCAACAUGAAGAUGUUCAUCGAUGAUGACUAGUCCGUCUCUCGUGAUGAUUGGACACGGCCUAGUUGAUUCGGAUCAUGUAUCACUUAGAUGACUAGAGGGAUGUCUGUCUGAGUGGGAGUUCGUUAAUAAUUUGAUUAGAUGAACUUAAUUAUCAUGAACUUAGGCUAAAAAUCUUUACAAUAUGUCUUGUAGAUCAAAUGGCCCACGCUAAUGUUGCCCUCAACUUCAACGCGUUCCUAGAGAAAACCAAGCUGAAAGACGAUGGUAGCAACUACACGGACUGGGUCCGUAACCUGAGGAUUAUCCUCAUAGCUGCCAAGAAAGCAUAUGUCCUUGAAGCACCGCUAGGUGAUGCACCUGUUUUCCCAGCAACUCAAGACGUUCUGAACACCUGGCAGUCGCGUAGUGAUGAUUACUCCCUGGUUCAGUGCGGCAUGCUUUACAGCUUAGAACCGGGACUCCAAAAGCGUUUUGAGCAGCACGGAGCAUAUGAGAUGUUCCAAGAGCUGAAAAUGGUUUUCCAAGCUCAUGCCCGGGUCGAGAGAUAUGAAGUCUCCGACAAGUUGUACAGUUGUAAGAUGGAGGAGAAUAGUUCCGUCAGCGAACACAUACUCAAAAUGUCUGGGUUGCACCACCGCUUGUCUUAGCUGGGAGUUAAUCUCCCGGAUGACGCGGUCGUUGACAGAAUCUUUCAGUCGCUCCCACCUAGCUACAAGAGCUUUGUGAUGAACUUCAAUAUGCAGGGGAUGGAAAAGACCAUUCCUGAGGUAUAUUCAAUGCUGAAAUCAGCGGAGGUGGAGAUCAAAAAGGAACAUCAAGUGUUGAUGAUGAAUAAAACCACUAAGUUCAAGAAAGGCAAGGGUAAGAAGAACUUCAAGAAAGACGGCAAGGGAGUUGCCGCGCCCGGUAAGCAAGCUGCCGGGAAGAAGACAUAGAAUGGACCUAAGCCUGAGACUGAGUGCUUUUAUUACAAGGGAAACGGUCACUGGAAGCGGAACUGCCCCAAGUACUUAGUGGAUAAGAAGGCCGGCAAUACCAAAGGUAUAUGUGAUAUACAUGUUAUUGAUGUGUACCUAACCAGUGCUCGUAGUAGCCCCUGGGUAUUUGAUACCGGUGCGGUUGCUCAUAUUUGUAACUCAAAGCAGGAGUUGCGGAAUAAGCGGAGACUGGCGAAGGACGAGGUGACGAUGCGCGUCGGGAAUGGUUCCAAGGUCGAUGUGAUCGCCGUCGGCACGCUACCUCCACAUUUACCUACGGGACUAGUUUUAAACCUCAAUAAUUGUUAUUUAGUGCCAGCUUUGAGCAUGAACAUUGUAUCUGGAUCUCGUUUAAUGCGAGAUGGCUACUCAUUUAAAUCCGAGAAUAAUGGUUGUUCUAUUUAUAUGAGAGAUAUGUUUUAUGGUCAUGCCCCGCUGGUCAAUGGUUUAUUCUUAAUGAAUCUCGAACGUGAUGUUACACAUAUUCAUAGUGUGAAUGCCAAGAAAUGUAAGGUUGAUAAUGAUAAUCCCACAUACUUGUGGCACUGCCGCCUUGGUCACAUUGGUGUCAAACGCAUGAAGAAACUCCAUGCAGAUGGACUUUUGGAGUCUCUUGAUUAUGAAUCAUUUGACACGUGCGAACCAUGCCUCAUGGGCAAAAUGACCAAGACUCCGUUCUCCGGAACAGUGAAGCGAGCAACCAACUUAUUGGAAAUCAUACAUACUGAUGUGUGCGGUCCAAUGAGCGUUGAGGCUCGCGGUGGCUAUCGUUAUGUUCUCACCCUCAUUGAUGACUUGAGUAGAUAUGUGUAUGUCUACUUAAUGAAACACAAGUCUGAGACCUUUGAAAAGUUCAAGGAAUUUCAGAGUGAGGUUGAGAAUCAACGUGACAGGAAAAUAAAGUUCUUACGAUCAGAUCGUGGAGGGGAAUAUUUGAGUCAUGAAUUUGGCACACACUUAAGGAAAUGUGGAAUUGUUUCACAACUCACGCCGCCUGGAACACCUCAGCGUAAUGGUGUGUCCGAACGUCGUAAUCGCACUCUAUUGGAUAUGGUGCGAUCUAUGAUGUCUCUUACCGAUCUACCGCUAUCAUUCUGGGGUUAUGCUUUAGAGACUGCCACAUUCACUUUAAAUAGGGCUCCGUCGAAAUCCGUUGAGACGACACCGUAUGAAUUAUGGUUUGGAAAGAAACCUAAGAUGUCGUUUCUUAAAGUUUGGGGAUGCGAUGCUAAUGUCAAGAAACUUCAACCUGAAAAGCUCGAACCCAAGUCAGAAAAAUGCGUCUUCAUAGGAUACCCUAAGGAAACCAUUGGGUAUACCUUCUACCUCAGAUCCGAAGGCAAGAUCUUCGUUGCCAAGAAUGGGUCCUUUCUGGAGAAAGAGUUUCUCUCAAAAGAAGUAAGUGGGAGGAAAAAAGAACUUGAUGAGAUGACCCCUCUCGAACCAGAAAGUAGCGCAGCACAAGAAAAUGUUUUUGUGGUGCCCGCACCGACUAGAGAGGAAGUUAAUUAUGACGAUCAUGAUCAAGUUACCACUGAACUUCGUAGGUCCACAAGGACACGUUCCGCACCAGAGUGGUACGGCAACCCUGUCCUGGAAAUCAUGUUGUUGGACAACGGUGAACCUUCGAACUAUGAAGAAGCAAUGGCGGGUCCAGAUUCCAACAAAUGGCUUGAAGCCAUGCAAUCCGAGAUAGGAUCCAUGUAUGAAAACAAAGUAUGGACUUUGACAGACUUGCCCGAUGAUCGGCGAGCGAUAGAAAAUAAAUGGAUCUUUAAGAAGAAGACGGACACGGAUGAAAAUGUUACCAUCUAUAAAGCUCGACUUGUCGCUAAGGGUUAUCGACAAGUUCAAGGAGUUGACUACGAUGAGACCUUCUCACCCGUAGCGAAGCUGAAGUCCGUCCGAAUCAUGUUAGCAAUUUCCGCAUUCUACGAUUAUGAAAUAUGGCAAAUGGACAUCAAAACGGCAUUCCUUAACGGCGUCCUUAAGGAAGAAUUGUAUAUGAUGCAGCCGGAAGGUUUUGUCGAUCCUAAGAAUGCUGACAAAGUAUGCAAGCUCCAGCGCUCAAUCUAUGGGCUGGUGCAGGCAUCUCGGAGUUGGAACAUUCGCUUUGAUGAGAUGAUCAAAGCGUUUGGGUUUACACAGACGUAUGGAGAAGUCUGUGUUUACAAGAAAGUGAGUGGGAGCUCUGUAGCAUUUCUCAUAUUAUAUGUGGAUAACAUACUAUUGAUGGGAAAUGAUAUAGAAUUCUUGGAACGUAUAAAGGCCUACUUGAAUAAGUGUUUUAUGAUGAAGGACCUUGGAGAAGCUGCUUACAUAUUAGGCAUCAAGAUCUAUAGAGAUAGAUCGAGACGCCUCAUAGGUCUUUCACAAAGCACAUACCUUGACAAGAUAUUGAAGAAGUUCAAUAUGGAUCAGUCCAAGAAGGGGUUCUUGCCUGUAUUGCAAGGUGUGAGAUUGAGCACGACUCAAUGCCCGACCACGGCAGAAGAUAGAGAAAAGAUGAGUGCCGUCCCCUAUGCCUCGCACUACUGGAAUCAGCUAAUUUGCCAUCUGCCAGCUCUUUGCCGUCUGCUAGCUGACGGCAAAGAAGCUCUUUGCCAUCAUCUACCCAAAAGCAGACGGCAAAGAAAGGGUAGACGGCAAAGAAGCUCUUUGCCAUCUGCCAGCUCUUUGCCGUCCGCCAGCAGACGGCAAAGAAUCUUUGCCGUCCGCUGGCGGACGGCAAAGAGUGAGGUGGCCCCCACCCCCCGCCCGUUUGGGAAAAACUUAACGGGCCACCUCUUUGCCGUCCGCUAGCAGACGGCAAAGAGGCAAAAAAGCGGACGNNNNNNNNNNNNNNNNNNNNNNNNNNNNNNNNNNNNNNNNNNNNNNNNNNNNNNNNNNNNNNNNNNNNNNNNNNNNNNNNNNNNNNNNNNNNNNNNNNNNNNNNNNNNNNNNNNNNNNNNNNNNNNNNNNNNNNNNNNNNNNNNNNNNNNNNNNNNNNNNNNNNNNNNNNNNNNNNNNNNNNNNNNNNNNNNNNNNNNNNNNNNNNNNNNNNNNNNNNNNNNNNNNNNNNNNNNNNNNNNNNNNNNNNNNNNNNNNNNNNNNNNNNNNNNNNNNNNNNNNNNNNNNNNNNNNNNNNNNNNNNNNNNNNNNNNNNNNNNNNNNNNNNNNNNNNNNNNNNNNNNNNNNNNNNNNNNNNNNNNNNNNNNNNNNNNNNNNNNNNNNNNNNNNNNNNNNNNNNNNNNNNNNNNNNNNNNNNNNNNNNNNNNNNNNNNNNNNNNNNNNNNNNNNNNNNNNNNNNNNNNNNNNNNNNNNNNNNNNNNNNNNNNNNNNNNNNNNNNNNNNNNNNNNNNNNNNNNNNNNNNNNNNNNNNNNNNNNNNNNNNNNNNNNNNNNNNNNNNNNNNNNNNNNNNNNNNNNNNNNNNNNNNNNNNNNNNNNNNNNNNNNNNNNNNNNNNNNNNNNNNNNNNNNNNNNNNNNNNNNNNNNNNNNNNNNNNNNNNNNNNNNNNNNNNNNNNNNNNNNNNNNNNNNNNNNNNNNNNNGACCUCGUUCUCCGGACACCGUUCGGGUAGGAGCAAAGGCCCCGUUCGAAAAUGAGUUUAUUUUCAUUAUAUCUAUUUUCCUAAUAUUAUUUAAUAUUUUAAUGCUUCAUUUUUAUUUAUUUUGUUUCAUUUUUAUAAUUUUUUCAAUUGAACAUUACUUCUGUUUUAAUUUUUUUAAGAGAACAAUUUCAUUGUUUUUGAUACUAUUAUUUAUUGUCCACCUUUGUUUCUUUUUUAUUUCCUUUCCUAAUUUUUAGAAUUUUUUUUGCAAACAUAAUAGUAUUAAUUCGAAAAUUCAAUUUGCAAACAAUAAUUUAAAACCACGCAAACACACUCGAUAUUUCAUCAUAGUUUUCAUAAAUAUUUUACAUAAUACUAGAAAUUAAACUUGACUAAACUAAACAACAUUAGGAAAAUAAUUAAACAUUACUAAACGUUAUUUCGAAAAUAACCUAAACUAAACUACUCGUCCUCGACGCCGCCAAAGUCCAUCUCGUCGUAGAGCCCGUCGCUGUCGUCGCCGUUGUCACUGCUGCUAUCGUCCAGGUCCACCACCGGCGCAGCCAUCGAGUCGGCCACAGCGGCGUGGUAGCCGGGGAAGUCCGGCGGGUCCUCUGGGUGGACGGCGACCGGGGCGAGCUGCAUGUACUCCUGCACGAGGGGUGGCGGCAUCGGCGCGUUCUCCGACUCCCGGAUCGCCGUCAGGUAGCCCGGCAUGUCCUCCGGGUCGCCGGCCUCCGCCGCCAGCCGCCUGUACUCGGCCAGCAACGCCGGCUCAGGUUCCGGCGCCGGCUCUGGCGGAGGGGCGCAGCUGGACGACCCGGCGCCGUCCCGCGCGCGUGUGCGACGGUCNNNNNNNNNNNNNNNNNNNNNNNNNNNNNNNNNNNNNNNNNNNNNNNNNNNNNNNNNNNNNNNNNNNNNNNNNNNNNNNNNNNNNNNNNNNNNNNNNNNNNNNNNNNNNNNNNNNNNNNNNNNNNNNNNNNNNNNNNNNNNNNNNNNNNNNNNNNNNNNNNNNNNNNNNNNNNNNNGACGCCGGCGGAGCGGGCAUGGCGCCGCCGGCCGCCUGCACGCGGUACGGCGCGACGACCUCCUCGAAGGUGCACCCGUCCCAGAGCUGAUGCCGCCGCGCGCGGUUGUGUUUCGUCGGCGGGCGCGGGACGGCGUACGCGUGGAGGCGGCGCAGGUGGUCGUCGGCGAGGCGGUCCGCCCAGCCGGGGUUGUUGGGGGCGUACUGGGGGUCGGCGAGUUCCUUCGGCGAGAGGCGCGCCCUGUACAGGCCGACGGCGCGGGCGAAGAGGUGGGUGCCGACCUCGGGCACCGGUGCCACCGGCACGCCGUCGACGCUCAGGCGCCACCUCGCCGGGAGGCGCACGUCGGGAGCGGCGGGGAUGACGAAGUGGGCGAGCUCCUCCGCCUCCUCGAGGGUCAAGGUGGAGCGGGCCAUCGCCGGCGAGAGGGAGAGGUAGGGCGCAAGAGGGGCGAUGCCGGCGGCAGGGGGAGAAGGAGAGGGAAGGCGAGGGGCGGUGUGAGAGCCACGGCGGGGCGAGGCGCUUUUUAUAGGCGUGGUGGGCGGGGUGGGUGCCGGUGAUCAAUGCCGGGCCAGCCGGCGCAGAAGGCCAGGCGGCGGCGUGCGAAUCGGCGCCGGCGAUUAAUGCCGGGCCAGCCGAGCGGUCAAGGGCGCAGAAGGCCAGGCGGCGGCGUGCGAAUCGGCGCCGGCGAUUAAUGCCGAGCUGUCAAGGGCGCAGGAGGCCAGGCGUCGGCGUGCGCGGGCGGUCAAGCGGUGGCGUGCGCAGGCGGGCGUCGGGCGGUGGCGUGUUAAUCGGCGCCGCUCGCGGACCGCCGCCGCCGACGGUACGUCUCACUGCGCCGGCGCCGAUGGCAAAAAGCCAUCAGCGGCAGACGGCAAAGAACCUGCCAUCUAGUGACGUGUAGAUGACAUCAUACGGCGGACGGCAAAGACCAUAGAAAUUUUGCCGUCAGCGGCGGACGGCAAAGGCCUGCCGUUAGCCACUUAACGGACUGACAGCGCAAUUAUUGCCGUCCGCUCUCUUUGCCGUCCGCCGCUGUAGGCAAAGGACUCUUUGCCGUCCGCCAUAAAAAGCAGACGGCAAAGGACCUGUUUACCGUAGCCUACUUUGCCGGAGCCUUUUGCCGUCCGCGGCUGACGGCAAAGGCCUUUGCCGUCCGCCGUUCGAGCCUUUGCCGUCCGCCGUGGCAGACGGCAAAAUAGCUGUUUCCUGUAGUGUCGGCCAUAGGGUCUAUUAUGUAUGCCAUGCUGUGUACCAUACCUGAUGUAAACCUUGCCGUAAGUUUGGUAGGAAGGUACCAAAGUAAUCCCGGCAUGGAACACUGGACAGCGGUCAAGAACAUCCUGAAGUACCUGAAAAGGACUAAGGAUAUGUUUCUCGUUUAUGGAGGUGACGAAGAGCUCGUCGUAAAGGGUUACGUCGAUGCUAGCUUUGACACAGAUCUCGAUGACUCUAAGUCACAAACCGGAUACGUGUAUAUUUUGAAUGGUGGGGCAGUCAGCUGGUGCAGUUGCAAGCAAAGCGUCGUGGCGGGAUCUACAUGUGAAGCGGAGUACAUGGCAGCCACGAAGGCAGCACAUGAAGCAAUCUGGAUGAAGGAGUUCAUUGCCGACCUAGGAGUUGUUCCCAAUGCAUCGGGGCCGAUGACUCUCUUCUGUGACAACACUGGAGCUAUUGCCCUUGCCAAGGAGCCCAGGUUUCACAAGAAGACCAAGCACAUCAAGCGUCGCUUCAACUCCAUUCGUGAAAAUGUUCAAAAUGGAGACAUGAAUAUUUGUAAAGUACAUACAGAUUUGAAUGUCGCAGAUCCGUUGACUAAACCUUUUCCACGGGCAAAACAUGAUCAACACCAGAACUCUAUGGGUGUACGAUUCAUCACAAUGUAACUAGAUUAUUGACUCUAGUGCAAGUGGGAGACUGUUGGAAAUAUGCCCUAGAGGCAAUAAUAAAAUGGUUAUUAUUAUAUUUCCUUGUUCAUGAUAAUUGUCUAUUGUUCAUGCUAUAAUUGUGUUAUCCGGAAAUCGUAAUACAUGUGUGAAUGCAUAGACUAUAACAUGUCCCUAGUGAGCCUCUAGUUGACUAGCUCGUUGAUCAAUAGAUGGUUACGGUUUCCUCACCAUGGACAUUGGAUGUCACUGAUAACGGGAUCAUAUCAUUAGGAGAAUGAUGUGAUGGACAAGACCCAAUCCUAAGCAUAGCGCUAGAUCGUGUAGUUCGUUUGCUAAAGCUAUUCUAAUGUCAAGUAUCAUUUCCUUAGACCAUGAGAUCGUGCAACUCCCGGAUACCGUAGGAAUGCUUUGGGUGUACCAAACGUCACAACGUAACUGGGUGGCUAUAAAGGUGCACUACAGGUAUCUCCGAAAGUGUCUGUUGGGUUGGCACAGAUCGAGACUGGGAUUUGUCACUCCGUAUGACGGGGAGGUAUCUCUGGGCCCACUCGGUAUUGCAUCAUCAUAAUGAGCUCAAUGUGACUAAGUAGUUAGUCACGGGAUCAUGCAUUACGGAACGAGUAAAGUGACUUGCCGAUAACGAGAUUGAACGAGGUAUUGGGAUACCGACGAUCGAAUCUCGGGCAAGUAACGUACCGAUUGACAAAGGGAAUUGUAUACGGGAUUACUUGAAUCCUCGACAUCGUGGUACGAUGAGAUCAUCGAGGAGCAUGUGGGAGCCAACAUGGGUAUCCAGAUCCCGCUGUUGGUUAUUGACCGGAGAGUCGUCUCGGUCAUGUCUGCAUGUCUCCCGAACCCGUAGGGUCUACACACUUAAGGUUCGGUGACGCUAGGGUUGUAGAGAUAUUAGUAUGCGGUAACCCGAAAGUUGUUCGGAGUCCCGGAUGAGAUCCCGGACAUCCCGAGGAGUUCCGGAAUGGUCCGGAGGUGAAGCUUUGUAUAUAGGAAGUCCAGUUUCGGCCACUGGGAAAGUUUCGGGGGUCACCGGUAUUGUACCGGGACCACCGGAAGGGUCCCGGAGGUCCACCGGGUGGGGCCACCUAUCCCGGAGGGCCCCAUGGGCUGAAGUGGGAAGGGAACCAGUCCCUAGUGGGCUGGUGCGCCCCCCAUGGGCCUCCCCCUGCGCCUAGGGUUGGAAACCCUGGGGGUGGGGGGCGCCCCACCUGACUUGGGGGGCAAGUUCCCCCUUGGCCGCCCCCCCUUGAGAUUGGAUCUCUAGGGGCCGGCGCCCCCCCAGGGCCCCUAUAUAAAGAGGGGGGAAGGGAGGGCUGUGCACCCAAGCCCCUGGCGCCUCCCUCUGCCCCCGUAACACCUCUCCCUCUCGCUGAGCUUGGCGAAGCCCUGCCGAGAUCCCCACUGCUUCCACCACCACGCCGUCGUGCUGCUGGAUCUCCAUCAACCUCUCCUUCCCCCCUUGCUGGAUCAAGAAGGAGGAGACGUCUCUCCCAACCGUACGUGUGUUGAACGCGGAGGUGCCAUCCGUUCGGCGCUAGGAUCAUCGGUGAUUUGGAUCACGACGAGUACGACUCCAUCAACUCCGUUCUCUUGAACACUUCCGCUUGCGAUCUACAAGGGUAUGUAGAUGCACUCCUCCCCUCUCGUUGCUAGUAAACUCCAUAGAUUGAUCUUAGUGAUGCGUAGUAAAUUUUAAUUUCUGCUACGAUCCCCAACAAACAUAAGUCUGGCAGGACAACAUAGGUCGUCAAUUUAACAAGCGAAACAUAUACAAAAUCUCAUAAAAUAUUUGUUUAGAAACUUAAUUUGACAACGAUUUUUUUUCUCCAAACAAGGCUUACCCCCUUUCCAUUAUCAUGAUAACAGAAAUACAUCAGUUCCGUAGAACAUAGGGCGCGGGAAAGAAGGGAAGCGAGUUCAACCACUACUAGGAAGAAACCCACAUUUUUUAAAAUAUACCUUGUUUGGCAAAAAAACAUAUUUGUCGCUAAUUAAAUCAAACACCUAAAAAUGCAGGGAGUAAUAGGACCAGCUUGGGAGGAUCAGUUGGGAGAUGAAUGAAUGGCCGGCCGGCCGGCCGCACGUUGAUAGAUGAUGAUGCAGGGUAUGUUUGGAUUGUGCCCCAUCUAGCCCUACCAAAUUAUUGGCAUGGCCAACUUGAAGGCAAGACCAAAAAAUUGGCAGGUUAUGGCUGUUUGGUUUGUAGCCCAUAGCACUUGCCAACUUUUUGGCAAAACCAUUGGCCAGCGUUUGGUUUGAAGCCAAAUAUUUGGCAACCUUGAUUGGACUGUGUUUGGUUUGGUUCCAAAAUGCAUGCCAGCCAAAAAGUGAUCAACAUCAGACACUACCUCACAUAUAUCACAUGACAUUAAUACAAAUUUUCAAUUUAGAAACACACAGUGAGACAAACUGUAAGCAUGCAUUUCAUAAAUUGACAAUGACAUGGUUCAACUAAUACAUUAGAUAACUCAUAUUGUUCGAUACAUCAGAUUAAUCAUCAAGGAGGCUAAAUAAAAUUCACAUAGUAACCAAGUCUUUACCAGACCAAGUAAGUCAUACUAGUCAGACUAGCACCAAGUCUGCUCCAUAUAAACAAAAUAUGAUGCACCCAGCCUUCUCUAUAUAGACAAAAUAUGCAUGAUGUAUGUUACCCAUGCUCCUAGCGGUAAACAAAAGGAAGCCGCAAUCUCUAUCUAGUCAUGUGGCCAUUCAGUGAGCAGUUGCAGAUCCACCAUUGCCACCAUCUUCUUGAAACCGAGGCUCGAAGAAGCUAAGGACCCACUGUCCAAGAAUUGUUUCAUCAGCAUAGUUGAGGUAACUACGAAAGAUAUCUUGAUCUGGCUUGGAUAGAUAUGCUACAAUCUCAAGUUUAUCCUUAGCUGGUAUGGUAAGGGCAUUUAUCCGCUUCCAAAGGUUUGCAUAUGGAUCUGUAGGUGGCAUUGGUUGCACAGAAACAAUAGGAGAUGCAAGAGAGUCAGCUAGCUUCUUGAUACUGGCUGCCAUAUCAUCAUUAGAUAUCUUGCCCUUCUUGUUUGCUUUCCCCUUAGUUGGCUUCUUGGAAGGUGAAGAUGACACGUGCUUGCACUUCUUGUUUAAAGAAUUGCCUUCCAAGUCAACUUUAGGACUAUGACGAUUAAUAGUGUCAGAGUCAGCUUCAUCACUGUCAACUGGAAUUAGAUUGGCCUCAAGUUCCCUCACUUCCUCGCUGUCAUCACUAUCAUCAUCCACAUUGACAGUGGUUUGGUCAGUUGCAAGCGAGCCAUCAACAAAUGCACUAGAAGCAUAGUCCCGACCAGCAUACAAACACCCAUCUUCAGCAACACUUGAAGCUUACAUACUAAAAUAAGUCAGACAAUCUUACAAUGAUAAAAUAAGUUGCAUAAAUUCAUCAAAAUCAAAACACUACAUCCUUCAAUUGUUCCCUCACGUUGGACNNNNNNNNNNNNNNNNNNNNNNNNNNNNNNNNNNNNNNNNNNNNNNNNNNNNNNNNNNNNNNNNNNNNNNNNNNNNNNNNNNNNNNNNNNNNNNNNNNNNNNNNNNNNNNNNNNNNNNNNNNNNNNNNNNNNNNNNNNNNNNNNNNNNNNNNNNNNNNNNNNNNNNNNNNNNNNNNNNNNNNNNNNNNNNNNNNNNNNNNNNNNNNNNNNNNNNNNNNNNNNNNNNNNNNNNNNNNNNNNNNNNNNNNNNNNNNNNNNNNNNNNNNNNNNNNNNNNNNNNNNNNNNNNNNNNNNNNNNNNNNNNNNUGAGAGGGCAUCUUUUAGCACAAGAGAAUCAUGGGCAGAGCCCUCCCAACCAGCUAGAACAUAUGUGAACCGAAGGUCGAAGUCAACAACUGCUAGCACAUUUUGGGAGGGAUAUGACUUGCGGCCCCUAAAUUUGUCCAUCAUGUGAGCAGGAACACAAGCCUUAACAUGAGUGCCAUCUAGUGCCCCUAUGCAUCCCUACGAAUAUGAAAAAGGGAAGUUCAUGUCAAGCUUGGGCUAGGCCGAUCUUGUAUAAUCAGUAAAAAAAUCUAUGGUCUAAGGAUUACCUCAAAGUACGGGUAGAAUCUGUUCGGGCUGCUAGUGAUUUUUGUGUGUGUGUCCGUCGAUCUAAUAUAAAUUAGAUCACGUGCUAACUCCCCCAUCGCACGUAGGACAAUAUUGAAAUAUCUGCUCACUGUUUCACUAGAUCGCCAGAACCAAAAUCCAACAGAUGAAUUUGUGUGAUGCUGACCGACCAUGUAUAGGAACAUUGCAACUUGUUCCUCUACCGAAACAUGAAAUGUGUCACUUAACAACUCCUUCUGCCUAAGCCUGUUACAUAGCUUGUAAAAUACAGCUCAAGUCAUCCUUAAUUGCUUGAUGCAUGUUGCAUCCGAUGUGUCAAAGAGCCUAAUUAGUACAUUAGUUCUGUAGAUGUCUCUCUGAACUAAUGGACCAUACUUCCUGCCUUUACCUCUAAAUUUUCUACCAUCUCUGCUUCUAUACCAGAGGGCCAAGAGUAGAACAAUAACACAGAGAGUUCUCCGCUUCAACAUGUUGUAAUAAUAAUAUCUUUGUUGAUCCAUGUCCAUCUGGGUCAAUAUGAAAUGUACAAAAAUAUGAAUGAGCUAACUUGGUACAUUAUUACAAAUGAUUACUUGCUAAAAGAUACAUGUUAGAAAGCAAACCUGCUUCUAACCAGUACCAAGGAUGCACAAUUUGUAAAAAAAAAACACCUUGAUGGACAAAAAAUCGAAGCAUGUCUCAGUAGUUAACUAUGUAUAUCCAACUUCAAAAAAUCCACCUUAAUGUUCUAAAAAUAGAGACCAUACAUAUGGCACAAAAAGGGAAGAACAGACCAUACUACUUUCAGAACCAUACCAGGUUAAUUAACUAAUUAACAUCAUUAUUCUCAUGUGAUUUGACUUGCGUCAAAUAAAGAACAUGGAUCACCCACAAAAAAAACAAAGAAUAUGGAUGAGAGUCUCAUAUGUUUUUACUUGCAGCAAACCAACAACAUGCACGGGAGUCCCAUUCCAAUUUUACUUCCAGCAAACAGGGAAGAGGAUUCAGCAAGCAAUUCUCAGAUCUAGCAAGUAGUACCUCCGUACAAUACAUACAUCCAUAAGGGGAUGAUGGGGAUUUGAGCUCACAAAUCAGACCAUAGAAAAGGGGAUCGGAGUAGUGUUGGAUGGGGAUUUCAGUGGCUGACCUUGGAGCGUAGCUUGACUGGGAGAGGAGGGCGAGAGGUGGAGCAGCGUCGCCGGUCGCCGGCCGCCGGAGAAGCUGGCACCAACGCAGAACGCGGCCGCCCGGUGAUUGGAUCGAGAGCGCUUCUGUGCGUGGAGAUAAGAAGAGAGAUGGGGAAAGUGGCGAACAGGUGGGGAAAAAUCAAUCGUGCCUUUUAUAUCACGGUGGCUGGCUCGCGCCAGAUUUGGCAGCCAAUAUUUUGGCGGCUGAUUUCCGCGCCGCUGUUUCGCCCGCGAGUUGGCGAAAACGGUACGCGGGCGCGCCCAAGUCGACGAUGGCGAGCCAAAAAUGGUACCAGACCAAACGCUAGCCAAAUAUCGUGGGCGUGACCAAUUUUUUGGUAAGGCUAGUGUUGGUCACCAUCCAAACAGCCCCGCAGUGUCCUCUACUCCUGUGUGGCGAUGUUGGGAGACUUCACUCCAUUGGUUCGGGUGCGUGCACGUCUUUUUCCAAUGGUGGGCGUGGGCGUGGACGUUUUGCUACAACUACUGGUUCAUGGCAUGGCAGUUGGUUCCGCCCUCCUUCAUUAUCAUUGUCCUAUGCCGACCUCUUAAGUCGGCUCCAAUCUACCGGGAGACCAACAGAGCGAAUGGCAUAAACACGGUCUUAAAGAAAAUGUUGUUAGGUCUUAUAUACAUUGAAUUUUAGAGGACGAGCUAUAGUGCAAGAUUAUUUAAAGUACGAUUUUUUUUUAUUCACUAGAUUCCUUCUACAGUUAAAACAUGUGAUUUUAUACAGUACUAAUAGAACGACGUGUUAUUCAUAUCUAAUCUUCUACACAAAGACCAUAUUUUCCUCUAACUUUCUUCUCAAUUGCAUGUUAGCAUUCAUAGGCUACCAGGAUGUGCUGUCGGUGAUAAUCCUCCCCAGCACUAAACCAGCUACUUUGAGUUGUUUCCCGGGCUAUGUUCUUCAGUAUGGUAGCAAGCGUCUUGGAAAUUACUAGUUACUUCAUAUGAUACAUUACAUAGGCUUAUAGGUAUGAACUAAGUCACAGCUAGUCUCUGGACUCUAUUUCAGGAAUCAGAACAAUAGUAGUCAUGUUCCAAUCAUCAGGAAACAUGCGUCAUUAACCGCUUGUGACACCUCUUUAGUAAGCUCAUCCCAGUUAUGUGCCAAAACCAUUUACGAAAAUAGCAUGAGGGGCAUCGGGACCAAGGAGCCUUAAAAUCCCCUAUACUGAAUAAUGCUUUUUUUAAACCCUUCAGGGAGAAAGGAUCCAACAACAUAUCAUUCACAUGUUGUGUAAACCAAGGAAUAUCACUUUGCUCAACACCUCCAGACGUUCGGUUUGCCCACCAGAAAAUAGAACUAAGAAGUAAUCCUUAGCAUGAUUCGAACGCAAAUGUCCCCUCUAUCCAAUUCCAGUUUACCCUGCCUCGUUGGAACUAGAUGAGUUCCUCCUACUCCGGCAUGUUCUCCAACAUUAGUUGAAUUUCUUUCUAAUGCUUCAUUGGACAUGCAGCCACACAUGGGAUCUUCAAACUCUAGCUAUAGUUGUUGAAUCGUCUUUCCCGGGUUUUUCAAUAUUGGCAUGCUCUCUUUUGAUCAGAAUGGCACCUCUUUUGAUUUGAGCAAUUGGCUUUAAUAAGCUUGCUGUUGAAACAAUAUCAGUGAGAUACAUUUGUUUUCCUCACCUGGCAGCCAUCUAGGAUUUUUUUUACUGCAAACUUGUUCUGCUCAUCAUCCUACUUAUCUGAGAUAAAUGGCAGGUACUACCUCUGUACACCAAUAUAAGAUGUUUUUGCAGUUCAAACGUCUUAUAUUAGUUUACAGAGGGAGUAGUAUAGAAGGGUUUGGAGAAUAUAAUAAAUGAACUGUGAAACUCUUACUUCCAUAAAUUUAGACUAGCCUUUACAGUGUUGUAAUUGCCAGGUGGAACCAGUGCCUUCACAUCUACAUGCACAUGCUGAAAUUACUUUACAAAACAAAUUUACAGUGCUGCACACAUUUACAUUUGUGAACACAGGGAAUAGAAGAGAACAUGACAUGCUCACAUCAUACAGAGGCAGACCUCCCAAUCGAGAGAUUCAGCGUUAGGUUAGUAGAACUGCAGAAAUCAUAUGGGACCAAAAGGAAAGCUUUUGUAGGGCGCAGACCCGCCCACUCCUUUGCAUUUGUGACAGAGGCCUUGAGUUGCAGGCAGUUUUCGGGGUUUCUCGUACUGGCCGCUUCGAUUUCGUAGGAGAACUUCCAGUUCAAAUCGCCAGUCCUGAGGCAAACCACGGAAAAGGCAUGCCCGAAGGGCGUCAUGUUCUUGUUCAGCAGCAGGAAGAGGUGAUCGUCCUCUCCGAGAAGAACAAGAAAAGGCAGGGACGCCUCCAAAUUCACUUCAAAUGGCUGGCCGUAAACGAAGUGCAAGAAAUCGGCACUGUGGUGGUCGACGAGGAAGUGGCCUGACCAACGCCCUGUGAAGCCUCUGUAUCCACAGCCAGGAAUCGGACACGUUGAAGGAGCAAAGAGGCAAGUUUCUUCAUGUGUGUUUCGUUGCGUGUAGCUAACCAACUCGCAACAGCCCCACUUGGCGUAUGCGCAGGAGGACUUGAUUGACUCGACAAUCUUCUCCAGUGCAAUGUUCCGUGCAAAGAUCGCAUCAUGAGAACAAACAUGACACUUGUUGCUGAGCCUGGACCAGCAGGACAAGCAUGCUACAUGGCCAUUCUGGCACUGGAAAAUACACAAAACAAGCUGUGAUCAUGCAAUAGAUAUCUUGCCUCUUAUAACAAAAGGUAGUCUUCUCGAAACAAGUGUGUCCACUCUGCCUUUGCAGCUUAAUUCGUGCCUUAAAUACACGCCAAAAAUUAUAUGGAUCACAUGGUUUUUAGCUUUAUGGAGUUGACUGUAUAUGUUCAGAAAUGUAAACUGUAUGUAUGUCAGUAUGUGUUUAGAACCAGCCAUGGAAUGGUUUUUGCUGACGAUUUCUAUCAGUUUCCCUAGGGCAGUGAUGCUCGAUGAUGGUUUUAGCAGCAUAGCGCUCUUUCUAGCAGUACAGAUGAGUCCUCGGUGUGCUUAUAAGCUGUGGUGUUCCAUCUAAACUGUUACAGUUUAUGAGGUUUGCCUCUUUGUUAGUGACUUAUCAACUGAAACAUGUAAUGACCUUGAGAACAAACCCAGGUACCUAUAAUGGAGGGAAAGGCACAGCUCGGCGAGGAAGGAAUUCAGAGAAAACAAUAGACCGUGAGACUUAAACUAUAUACUCCCUCUGUCCCAUAAUAUAAGAGAGUUUUUUACCCUAGUGUAGUGUGAAAAACGCGCUUAUAUUAUGGGACGGAGGGAGUAGAUAAGUGUGAUCUUUGUUCCUUACUUGCUUGAAAGUUUGACAAUUACUUGGAGGUUCUAGAACCUAAAAGAUAGAAACUGCUUCAGAAGGAAAUGAAACAGAGCAACUAACCAAAGGGAAAUCAGAGUACCUUGAAUCCCAAAAUUAGUUCUCCUUCCAUAUGCAGAGAUUCAGUUGUCAGGAAUAAUGGGGACAUUGGCUCAAGAAUGCAUUUUAAAAACUGGUCUGUGGUCACAGUGUCCUAAGGAACAGUGGAUAGUAAUUGUGCAGUUACCCAACUGCUUCGCUGCCUAUCAUCGUCUCUGAUCCCCUCCUGCCAAUUGCCAUAGCUAUGGAUUUUCUUAAUUAGCUCAACAGAAGCGAUGCCAGCUUAAUUAGCGAAUUCUAAUCGAUAAUUAGCAGAGGAAAGAAUCAAGCAGCAGCGCGAUGGAUAAUUUGGCAGAGCAACAUCUUCCUUCCUCCGGUUAAUUUUUUAAUUUACCUGGUAGAGGGGAGGGCAGAGGGGCUCGAAGCAGAUGGAGCAGUCGAGCAGGUCCGGGUCGAUCCGCAUGCUGAUCCCCGCCGCGUCGCCAUCCCCGCCGGCGCCGACCCUCCCCACCUCCCGACCGCACCCCGCCACCGCCCUCUCCUCCCGCUCGCCGCCCACGACCUCCAGUCUCCGGGCCUUGGGGGGCGGCCCUCCACCAGCCGCCCCGUCUUCAGGGGCAGGGCCGCCUUCGCGCUUCCUCUUCUCGGACCCGGCGGCGGCGGCGGGUGGAGGGUCUUCGUCGGCGUCGGCGUCGGCGAAGGAGAACUUGGCCAUGGAAGGAAAAUGGAGUAACCAACCGUAUUUCUUCUUUUUUUUUCCUUCUUGGGGGUGUUCGUUUUACAGCUGCGAGGGGAUGCACGUCACGUUGGAUCGUUUAGCCCACCAUCAUCAUGUCACUGACUCGUGGGGCCCGGGGGCACCUGUCAAUUACUCCCACGGUUCUAUAAUGUAAGACGCUUUUUUGACAUUACACUAGUGAAAAGAUGUCUUACAUUAUGGGACGAAGGAAGUACAAACAAAGAUAUUCCGGUUGAGGUCACCCUCGUCUCAAAAUCAGACAAGUGUCUUCCAUCGAUUUUUUAAAUCAGACAAGUGUCUUUAAAAAAAUCUAACAAGUGUCCAUCGAUUUCCGCCACACACUCCUCCUCCCUCCAACACGAGCCAAACCGCAUGUGGCCAAUGGUGACCGCACACCUCGCCGCUCGGUCUUCCAUCAAAACCUUCCCUCCUUCGUCGGCGCCGGAGGCCAAACCCACACCCGCACCCAAACCCAUCAAUCUCUUGUUGACGACCCCGCCCGCGGUCAACCAUGACAUCCUCGUCUCUCGUUCGUUCAUUCAUGGCAAGGCUUCGCCGAGGAUGCCAUGUCCAGCUACAUCGCUCCCGUCUCCGCCUCCUCGUAGCUUUGCUUCUUCGAAAAUCGAGUCACAUCAAUAAUGUUAUUUAGGUGACUUUUAAAUGGCAAACGCGCAACAUUUAUCUUUGUGAGUUGUGACAGCCCAAGGGCUCGUCCACAAACGAGAAGAGUAAGCGCGCAACAUUACAUAGUUGCUAACGACCACCUCAAUAGGCAAGAUCGAUUUUGCGAUAAAAGUUGUUUACUUGUACAAUUCGAUAAACAAACAAGCAAGCAAACUAAUCAUUUCCAAAAGUUUGAGCCGGUGGGAAAAUUGUACAGAAUAUGUUGCACACAACUGCUGAAAUAAAUUCACAUAAGAUCUAGCAGGAGGGUGCAGAAAAGCGCACACACACAGGUCAUACAAAUUUCUGAAACAAUUCAAAUCUGAACUGUAUCUUUAGUCAUACAAAUUUCUGAAACAAUUCAAAUAUGAAGUUUGGUCAUACAAAUUUCUGAAACAAUUCAAAUCUGAACUGUAUCUUUGGUCAUACAAAUUUCUGAAACAAUUCAAAUCUGAACUGUAUCUUUGGUCAUACAAAUUUCUGAAACAAUUCAAAUCUGAAGUGUAUCUUUGGUCACACAAAUUUCUGAAACUAUACAAAUCUGAAAUGUAUCUUUGGUCAUACAGAUUUAUGAAACUAACCAAUCUGAACUGUAUCUUUUGUCAUACAUUUACUGAAACUAAUCAAAUCUGACCUGUAUCUUUUGUCAGACAAAUUUCUGAAACUAAUCAAAUCUCUGAACGUAAUCAAUAAUUUCUGAACUGUAGCUUUUGUCAGACAAUUUUCUGAAAGUAAUCAAUAAUUUCAGUCACUAAUUACUGAUGAAAAUCAAAACUGAAAAACUACUGUUACUUUCACAAUUUUUCAGUCAUAGAAUUCUAAGACUUCCCAACAAUUUUGCAGUCACAUAUUUCACAAGCAAACUAAUCAUUUCCAAAAGUUUGAGCCGGUGGAAAAAUUCUACAGAAUAUAUUGCACACAACUGCUGAAAUAAAUUCACAUAAGAUCUAGCAGGAGGGUGCAGAAAAGAAAAAAAAAUCACAAAAAGAAGUCAAAGUUGGAGCCACUUGUCAAGUUAUCAAGGAUGGUGGGCUUAAUUACCUCCAUUCCGGGUGCUCUCCUUUGAGCAUUUCUGAUAAUUCAUGGAGAAAAUAGUAAUUUCAGUACGCUUCCGAUUGUCGGACCAAGCUCUUUUAGAAUUUAUAUUAUAUAAGACCUAAUUUGGUAUUUCUCGCAGGGCCUCCGAUUUCUCAUGUACGGCCCUGAUAUGCAUGGCACUUUUCAAAUUUCAAUAUGAGCCUACAUACACCAUGGGCACACCUUGCUCCAUGGUUAUUCUCUCAAAACUUACUAACUUGAACAUAUGUGGCAUGCUUUCAUUAUUGAAAGAGGUUCCAGUACAAAAUCUCAUCAAGCAAAUGCACCGCCACCAAGUAAAAUUUAACAACUGAAGAACCAGAUAGACCAUAAAUAAAAGAGAACCGGCCUGCGACAAGAAUUAGCUUGGCAUAACUAUGCAAAUCAACCAAAAGACACAAUGGCACAAUUGGAAACCAUCUGGGAAGAAAAUUUUCAUUGUUAUUACCAGCAUCAAGCCUCAUAUGUUAAGCAAAAAACGCUGCAAUGUAACACCACUGUCAUGUCAUCAGACCACAGCAAGCAUGAAACACAGGUACAGAGGUCCGCAAUCGCCAACGGAAGAUCAAUUAAUUCAUGGUCGCAACAGAAUGGUGGUAGUAUACUAACUUGGACACUUAGCUGCUAAUCAUGUGCUAGCAGGAACAAGAGUCGACGGGGCGGAUAUCCAAACACUGAAAACAAACCUCAACGGUGCCUUGCAUGCACAGACCACGGGAACAACAGGACACCGAUAACUUUCAGGGCAAUUUGCGUCCCACACACCUGUUGUGGCUUCAGUAGUUUGCAGAAGGGAAUUUCAAAAGGAAAAAGAAGUCGCCAAGAGGAAAUUCAGACCCUCGCUUGUACCGUCCUUGAAGAUCAGAACAGCCGGUGACCAGCGCAACGGAGAUUUCACCUGCCCGUUUAAACUUCGCCACUUUGGAAUGCACCUCCUCCGCCGAAGUGGAGCCAGCGGACAACAGGAUCACCACCUGCUUGAGCACUGAUGCAGUCUCGACGAAGUAUUUGAGGAAGGCGAGCUCACUUCGGUCCCCUCGGAAAUCAUGGAAAAUCAGCCGCUUGACGCACGACCGGACGCAUUCUACGGUACCAGAGUCAUGCCAGAACUUUAGGUUGAGCUUGCCAGUGGAUAGAUCGCACUUUCCAGACUGAAAAAAAAAUCCAUCAAUUAAAUAAAUGCACAUCAAGUUCAACAGCUAUAUGUUUGAUAGGAAUUAGCAAUAUAGUACAGGCAAACAAAAGCAAGCUGAAAGAGAGAGGGCUUCACCUUGAUGUGGAGCGUCUCGACAUUAGGAAAACAUCGGAGGAGACUGGGAAUCAUCUUGGCAUCAUUGCGUACUCCGAAACGGACAUCCAAAGCCAGGACUGUCACACUUGAUACCAUGGUUCUUGGGCUCACCCUUGUCCCAGCCUGCAAAUGCAAUUCAGAAUGCAACCAUCUUCAGUUAAGAGAAGAAAGAAAAAUCAGAAAAAGGAAAGUUAAACAACAGUCUCGGCACCUUGAUGAUGGUGUUGCCGACCUCCAGAACAUGAUUCCCUGCGUCCAACUGCAGGUAUGCCAGCAAUUGCAGCUUGGGGGCAUGGCCAAUCUUGACCUUGGUGCAGCCGCCAUGAGGGGUCCAACCUUCCAAGUUGAUGAGGCGCUCAAGGCGUGGGGCGUUCACCACGAAGAUCUCCUCCAAGAAGGAGCCGAUGAUCUGCACGCACCGGAGGCUUUGGCUGACAAGCCGGAGCCGGAGCGUGAACAGAUUCCCUUCGAUGAAAAGCGUCUCCAGCACGGGGCUGCUGUCGAGCAUGAAGUCCAGAUCCCUGGUCUCCAUGAGGACGCUGCAGAGCCCGAGCUCACGGAGGUUGGGGAAAGAGACGCCGGGGCCGGGCGGGAGGCCGGCCGUGUCGGGGAACUUCCAGAGCCUGAGGUGGAGGCGGGUGAGGGUGGCCAUGCCGAAGACGGCGGCGGGGAGGACGGCGUCGAGCGAAAACCAGCUGCUGACGAGGACGAGCUCCUGUACCGCCUUGGCGGCGAGAAGCUGGAGCCAGGGCGCGAGCAGGUGGCCGGACUCCUCGGUGCAGCUGCUGGUGAGGUGGACGCAGCGGAAGGGCCCCGGGUGCGCGCCGAGGACGCGGGACAGGGCGGAGGCGGCCGGGGACGGGGAGAGGUCCGCGUCGGCGAGGACGAGCGGGGCGGAACGCCACACCCCGCGCCAGCGGCGGGAGAGCGCGGCGGUGCGCGCGGCGUCCUUGACGGGCAGGAGGGAGACUAUGCCGCGGAGGAGCGCGUCGGGGAGGCGGCUGACGCGGUCGACGGCGUCGUCGGGUCGGGGGGGAGGGCGGAGAGGCGAGCGGCGGCGGAGACGGGCGGGUCGGGGACGGUGUGGUGGAUGCAGUAGAGCAAGCGGGCGAAGAUCUCGUGCCUGUCGUCUAGGUGACGCCCGUGCUGCAUGAGCUCGCCCGCCAUGGCGACCCCUAGGGCGCCCAGGGUCGGCGCCGGCGGCGGCAUCGCUCGGUGGAGCGGAGCAGGGACGGCGGAACAGAAGGGGGACGAAAUGCGAACCAAAUCAGAUCCUACGGUCAAGAUGAAUCAAUAACUCUGCAGAUUGCUCUCACACGGAGAGAAAGAGAGUAAGUGCAUCUCCAACCCACCCCAAAACCGCUAGUAGACAAACUCUGGAAGCUAUUUGUUGAAAUAUAUUGUACGCCUCUCUCCAUCAGUUUGGAUUUUAGAUGAGUUAACUUAUGCAUGAAUUCAAUAUGGUAUCCGAGCCAGGAGGUUGCCAACGGAAUAUUAUAUAAAUCCCACAUAUAAGGACUAAAUAAGGCUAGACGUGAGGAGGGUUGUUGAAAUAUAUUACCCGCCUCCAUCAGUUUGGACUUUUUAAUGAGUUAGCUGCUUCAUGAAUUCAAUACCAUCCAACACCGAUCCAUCCGUUUGCGGAGCAGUCCGGACCAUGAUUUUCCCGCAACCCAAACGUGGGGGGCUUGACGCGAGUCUGAAAACAAGACAUGUCGGACUCUGACAUCCCUGGUCCAUCCAAAAGGAAGGCGGAGCCCGCGCUUUUAUAGUGCGUGCAUUGUUUCUAUGGCAAAAUCCCUCACUCUCUUCUUUCAUCUCGCGGCUCUCCACCCAAUUCCCGCUCUUUUCUCACAUCUAUUCUUACCUCCCGCCGUCGACGCAUGGAACCAGAGGAGAACCUGCCGGAGAUGGAGGUGGUGGAGGCUCCGAGUAUCAUGCUCGCCCAGAAGAUCAACUCGGCGACACGGCAAAAUCCCCGCUCAAAGCGAAGGUCACAAAGGAGGAAGCGCUCAAGAAGCAUAAGGCCGGUGGAGGACUACUCGUGACGGACAUGUCGGUGGGCGUGCUGGUCACAGACGUGGUGGAGGUCGUGGCCCGUUGGUGUCGCCCACCGUACAUAUGCCGCGAUGGCUAGAGCAUAAAUUACAAGGCUCCGUACUUCUACGCCACCAAGCAACUCGGUAGGCAGUCCACGGCAUCCGCCGCCGAGCAAGUGCCUGACAUUGUCGACGUAAAUGCGGCAUCACUGCUCUUCUCGAAGUGUUCUUCGCCACAACUUUCUAGGCAUGAAAAGCGGGCGGGGAGCAAAUGGGUGUCCGCAUGUUAUUUGCUGUUAUGCCUAAAACGGUGGAGCUGGCGUAUGACGAUGCGGACACGGAGAUGUUAGACAUCAUCCAUGUUGGAUGCAAAGGAGGAGGUGGCAAUGAAGACGGGCAGGUGGAAGACUUGGAUCCCACCCGGUCCCACAACUACACCCAGACGCAGUAGGGCUACACCCAGACCGGCACGGGCGCAAAGCAACAGGAUUAGGCCGCCAGACAAUAGGAGUAGAAAGGAGGAGGAGGAGGAGGAGGGGAGCUCCUAUUGGGCGCGUGACGCGCUGGCUCGCACCCCUCCCCUCUCAUGCUCCCCUCUUGGGCCAGGCCAUGAGCGGGGCUCAACGACCCUAGUUUUUUAUUUCAUUUUUUGCUUUCUUUUUUAUUUUUCCUUCUUGAAAAUAAUUCAGAAUUUUUAAAAAGUUCCAUUGGAAAAAUAUUCCAGAAAUCUAAAAUGUUUGUUGUUUCAAAAAUGAUUUAUAAAAAAUGUUCGUGAAUUUGAACAAACAUCAUGAAUUCAAAAAAUAUUCGGGAUUUCAAAAAAUGCUGGUCUAUUAAAAAAAUCAUGAUUUUCUAAUAAAUGUUCAUGGAUAUUCAAACCAAUGUUCGGAAAUUUAUAAUUAUUCCGAUUUUUUUAAAUCACAAAAUUCAAAUAAAUGUUUCCCGAUUCAAACAAAUAUUCAUGAAUUCAAAAUAUGCACGUCUAGAACAAAAACUAUUUUUAAAUUUAAAAUUUUGUUCCCAAUUUUUUUUUAAAAAUGAUCGCCUAUGCAAAACACUUUUUCACGACUUCCAAAAAUAUAUAUGCAAUUACUGAAAUAUUAGUGAAUUCGUAAAAUGUUCAUAAAUUUGUAAAAAUAAAUGAAUUUAAAAAUAUUCAAAUUAUAAUAACAUGAUGAACAUUUUUUGAAUUCGAAAAAUGUUCACCAAUUUGCAAAAUGUUCAUGAAAUUUGGAAAAGGAAGAAAAGAAAAAUAGAAACAGAAAAAGGAAAAUAAUAAAAUUACAAAAAAACAAAAAAUUAAAUGGAAAUAAAAAUAAGAAUAAAAAAGGUGAACAUAAAAAAUAAAAGAAAAAGGGAAAUGAAAAUGAAAUAAGUAGAAAAACCGAAUGAAAACACACACAAAAAGUAGCUCCUUCCCGAAACCAAAAAAAGAUAAUGGCCCGACCUAAAUCGUUUGUAGCGGCUGCGGAUGGGGGGGGCGAGGGGUUCGGGCUCGGUCGCCAACUGGCGACCUAUGCACCAAAUAGGAUCCCCAGAGGAGGAGGAGGAUGAUGAUCCGGAUGAUUUUGCCGGCGAUCCGAAGAUGAGGGGUAGAGGAGAAAGUUUCAAUAUGUGGGAAGACGAGCUGUUGUGUGAUGCAUGGUUGGCCACUAGCCUCGAUCCGAUCCAUGGCACGGAGCAAAAACGACACAACGUUUUGGGCCAACAUUCAGACAUGGUUCCAUGAACACAAGCAUUUCGUGCCCUACUCCGGCGUGGUCAUCCACAACCGUGAAUCAAAGUCCCUCAACCAUCGAUGGUAAACCAUCCAAGAGGCCGUGUGAAGUAUUGCAGCUACUUGAAGCAUCUCAUUGCACGGUGGCCUAGUGACGCAAAUCAUCAAGCAACUAAGCUCAUUUGGCCUAAUAUGCAUAGUUUUGUUGUUCACUAGCCGGAUAUGCAUAGUUUUGUUGAUCACUGGCCAGAUAUGCAAAGCUUUGUUGGUCACUUGCAGGAUAUGCAUAGUUUUGUAGCUGGAUAUGCCUAGAUGUUGUCCUUGAAUUUGGAUGUUGUGAUGCCUACGCAAGAAUGAUCUUGCAAGCCAUCCGCUACAAGAUGUUGCAGCGAUAGAAAAAUGAGUUAGAGGCAGAGAACAAGAAGGAGGAGGAGGAGGCAGCGGAGAAGGAGGCGUAGGCAGAGGCUUCCUACGCGGCGGCGACGACACCUUGAGCAUGGAGGCUCGGAUUAUCGGUCCGGCAGGGUAGAAUUCUGGUAGUGGAAAAUCUAAUUUUUUCACGGACUGCUGGACGGAGUUUUUUUGUGAUCGGGCAUGGAAAAGCUAAGUAUACUUGCCUCUUUUUGAUUGUGAUCGGGCAUGUGAUCCAAAGCUGGUGAGAUCCGGCGCGCGCUAUGGAUCGGACUUUAUUUGAAUUUUAAAUUUUCCUUUACUGGCAGACAUAUACAUGAUAGCUUUGCAUGUCCAAUUUACAGGUAAGCGUUGGAGAUGUCCUAAUGCAAUAAUCAAAUUAUCACUAGCUAUAUGGCUAAUGUUUCUUCUUAAGUCAGGCCCGAAGGCUCUUGAUUCAUUAAGAAUGAAUAGGAGAGUUGCCUGGUUAAUAUCCUAAAACCAGGCUAAAAUCAUCACAACAACUCAUAUAGGGCAAUACCAGUCGACCUGACCACCCGCGCGAAGGUAGAAAACGCCGCAUAGAAGAAACACAUAGCCAGGAUAAUCACCAAGCAAAGGGAGAAAUUCGAGAGAGGGGAUGAGCAAGUGAACAAGGACCUCUAUGACCAAAUGAAGGUUAGCUCUUUUCCUUACCAGGCCAACAAUAUUAUCCGAUAAAAUCCUUGAUUAAUAACACCAACAAAAAUAACUGCAAAUUCUUUCGCUCAUCUCGAGGCUAUGACACCUCCUCCUACUACUCCUCCAUCACAACCUUGAGGCCGUGUCAACAUACAUGUUUGUGUCCUAUGGUUCUGAGACACAUGGUAAAUCAUUUUGUAACGAUGAACUUUGUAUGCAUGUGACAUUAUUGAACUUGUGAUGUAUGUGCAAUGAUAUGUAUGUGUCAAUUGCUAUAUAAUGCGAUAUGGUAUGUUUGAAAUGCCAUAUAAAUUGUGAUAUGUGCAUAUGUUUAUUGUAUGCGUUAUUGUGGGGCUAGCUGCAAAAUUAAUUAAAACUGUUGAACACACCUUUGUCGAGUGCCACGAUCAAUAAAAGAGCCACAUAGUAGCAGUUGGGAGCAUCUGAAAUUUUUUGUCGAGAGCCUGAGUGCGGAGCCGUCAACCGCAGACGACAAGGACACGUUGAAUCUUGCUUGCUGAGUGUCUUCCUACGGAAUCUUGCUUGAUGAGUUUUUUUGUGUUGCCGAGUGUUUUUCGGUGACUCUUGACGAAGGUUUUCGCUGCCGAGUCCCCACGUUUGCCGAGUGUGGUACUCGGCAAAGGGGAGGUUUGUCAGCCGGUGAAUCCCGGCAAAAAACGUCGCACUCAGCAAACACCAAUUUUCCGGUAGUGGCUUCACACAUAUGUAUUACAAAAUUACUGCUUUAUAACAUAACAAGGUAUUUCUUUAACAUAUCAUUUGUGGAGGGUUGCAUAACCAUAUUGUUUGUAAUCGCACGCACAAAAAAGAUAUUUAUGAAACCGUAAAUUUAUAUGUCAAACACAUUCAACACACAAAUAGAUACACAUAAUAUAAUCCAGGUGAAGAUUUAGAAUCCUGCUCCAGCAAGUACAACAGAAUACACCAUUCCUUGUGAUGGAAAUACUUUGAAGGUGACAAAAACCGAACAUAAGUACAGAAGAAGGGUGGGGACGGAAUCUCCACGAGAAGAGAAUCUAUCCAUGGCGGCUAACAUGAUGGAUCAUCACGUCACUCGCACCGUUAUUUUGCUCUUUUAUUUCAUGCGCUAUAGUUUUCGUUUACCAAAACGCCUGUCUCUGCUCUGGAAGGACAUAAGAGCUUCGAGAUAUUCAGCCUCCCCGAAAUCAGGCCAGAGCGUGUCAGUGAAGAAGAGCUCGGUGUAAGCAGACUGCCAAAGCAUGAAGUCACUGAGCCUUAGUUCGCCGCUGGUCCUGAUGAGUAGGUCAGGGUAAGGGAACUCGUCUGUCCAGCUCGUUUGGAGCUCGUCGGCGAAUAGUGAAUCAUCGAUGUCCUUCGGUCUGAGCAGCUUGUUGUACACCUUUUGGGCAAUCUUCUUGCAUGCUUGCAGGAUGUCCGCUCGCCCACCGUAGCUGAUACCUAGCAUCAGGUCGAUUUGUGAGUUGCUUCUUGUUUCCUCCUCGGCAUCGUGUGCAGUCUUCUGCAGAUAAGUCGGCAACCUUGACAAGUCACCGAUUACGUGUAGACGAAUCCCAUCCCUACAAAACAUAAUAAUCUCUUCUGUUUAUUAGUCAAUACAAGUAUUAGUAGAAGUAAUUAGAAUAGCUACAUUCAUAGCAUUCAUAAGCACAUAAAAGGAAGACUCGUGCCUUCCACAACAAGUGCAUGCCGCCCCCAAUAUUGCUCAACAACAUCAAUCUCGAGACAGAACUUUGGUAACCGCGGGAGCUAAUUAAGAAAUUAGGUCCUAAUCAUUCUUGGAGAGUAAUCCCUUUGUAGCUCCGGGCUGUAAUAUAACUCUACUCUCUUCUUAAUUAAUGGACGAGGCAAAUCUUUUGCCUCUGUUUCAAAACAAGCACACAACAUGUCCUAAGUCACAUUCCACUCUCAGUUUCUAAUUCAAGUGAAGUAGUAUGCUUUUCAAGCUCCCAGGGGUUGUCUUUGUAGUUGGGAUUCAAUUUACAAAUUACCCAACCUGAAGGCCCCAAGGGGUCGGAGAAAGGCCAGAGGAAAUGUGGGUAUCUUACAUGGACAUGUUGGUUACGACGCAAUGUGUCUAAGUGCGGUUCCAUUAAAAUUAAGCUAAAAUGUCAAAGGACAAAAAUGAAAAUUUUCUCACCAACAACCGCAGUGGGGAUUCAGGGAAGAGGUAAGGAUUAUAAAAUCUUAUCAUAUCAUUUCUACCUAAAAGAUUCAUCCUUGCUAAUUAAUUUAUCUCAACAUGCAAGUAUGCCACCUCCCCAUAUGAUUAUGAACGUGAUAUAGCCUACCUCAACAUGCAAUCAUGCAUUGGAAAAAAUCCACCCCAACAUUCAACCAUGCAUGAGAAAAUGUUUUCUGUUUAAUUAUUCCAUGUAUAUUUAGUAAAUAUUGUUACAACUAUACAUAAUCAAAUAUAGUUAGUCAUAUGUAUUUUAAGUUUCGUUCUCAUGUUAUCAUCCCAGAUUUUCAUCCACUAAUUCCCGCAGCAACGUGCCCUAAAUAGUUCAGACCCACUACCUCUAUUAUCUUAACUUGCACAUAUGCCACCUCAUCAAAGGACCACCACAAUAUGUAUAAGAAAAUAUUUUCCAUUAUUAGUUGAUCCUAUGCAUACAUCCGACCUCACCACACAUGUCAUCUCAUCAAAGGUCCACUCAACAUGCAUGGAAUUUUAUUUUCCAUUAUAUUAUACCAUGAUAAUCAAAUACAAUAUACAUGUAUUUUUAGUUUUAGUUAAUAUAUUAUUAUUUCCAUGUUUCGUACAAUCAAAUCACUUGAAAUAUAUUGUAGUCGAUUCCUGCAGCAACGUGCGGGGUAUUAUCUAGUUUCCUCUAUUCUUUGUCACUCUAUCCACCAUACAUAUCUUUUUUCUAACUAUCCACCACCCCAAUAUGGGAUGAAUAUAUGAUGACGAGAACAAAAUUUGAACUAAUGCAUACUUUGCCUUCAAAAUUUUGAAUUUUUUUGAAAAUUUGAUUAAUAUUUUCAAGUUGACGUAAAAUAUAAACUCGUUUGCAAAUCAUAUGGAUUUUCUAAUGAAUGGAAACCACUCAUAUUUUGAAACACCUAUUCAACAUUGUUGAAAUUUCUAGAAACCCUUGCCACCCAUCCUAUACAACAUUGUUGAAGGUAUGUUGGUAGUGCUCAUUGGGCUAGCUAAAGAGGCUAGCCAAGUGAAUGGUCUUAUUCAGCACCUUGUUGAUGGUGGGUCUCGGUUUUGCAGUAUCCGGAUGGCACCACCAUAUACAUGGAGCAUGGCAUUGAGAAGGCUAUAAACGUGAUGUUAAUUUUGUAUCUGUUUGAGCAGUUUUGGGCCUUAAGUUUAACUUCCUUAAGAGCGAACUUCCUGGUUUUGGAAAGCCAAAGCAGAGGUCGAUACAAAUAGUUGUUUGGUUAUGAGUCUGGUUCUCUUCCCUUUUAGUAUCUAGGCGUUCUAAAUCACUUUCGUAAGCUCCUGAAUAAGUAAAGGAAGUGUAUUGAAGUCCGCUUCAAAACUAAGUUGGAUGGAUAAGCUCAUGUUCUCUGGUGCACGUCUUUCUCUUAUAAAUGUUGUAUUUCUUUGAUAUAAAUAAACAAAGGAGUCAUUAAGGAAAAGACUAGACUAGAAAAAAAUCCGAGAGUUUUCGGAAACCAGUAUUCCCGGCUCCACACCCGGGAAAAAAUGGUACCGGGAAAAACCUGAUUGUAGUAGACUAUAGUUUCUUUUAAUGACUCCUAAUAAUUUGUUCCCUACACAAUUUUUGAGAAAAAAGAAAAAAAUGGUAUUGAGGGAUGAAUCCGUAAGGUAAAUUCUCAUAUUGUGCAUGCGUGCGCGCGCGUGUGUGUGUGUUAGAGAGAGAGACGGCAGUUUAAUGGAGCCGUUAAACGAUGAAGACAUAAUAUCUUGUUAGUGCCAGGUUGCACCGUGCUUUAUGCUCUUUCUUUUUUCUUUGCGGGAAGUACUCUUUUUCUUUCACUUGUUACUUUCGAAUGAUAUGUACUGCAUAUUUGAUAGUAUGAACUUAAUAAACAUGACUGUGUGAGCGGUGACGAGAGCGUGUCGGCAGCUUGUUCUCGCGACGGUAGUGGUCUUUAGGUGGUCUGGAAAUCUCAAUUUUUAUUAUAUUUGAGAUGCUCUGUACUCCUUUCAAUGAAUUUUGAUAAUAGAUCUGCAUCUUUUAUGGAAAAAAGAGAGACCUAUGGUAAACCCUCCUCAGGAAAAAAAAAACAUGCUACCUUACAAACUGGGCGACAUUGUCCUGGAUGAACCGAUCGAACACGCCCAUAGCAAAGUCAACCUCCUCCUUGGGACGGUUCCAGUUCUGAUCGGAGAAGGCGAAGACAGUGAGCACGCGGAUUCCCCAGGCGCGUGAGAGCCGCACCGUCUCCUCCAGCGCGGGCUGCAAAGCGGCGUGCCCCGCCGACGUCGGCAUGCCCCGUGCUUGCGCCCACCGGGAGUUCCCGUCAAUGGUCACCGCCACGUGACGCGGCAGCGACUCGACCCGCAGCCCUACUGGGAGGAUCCCCUCGGCCGGCAGGCCGAUGCUGGCGCGGACGCGUAGGCAUGGUGGUGCUGCAGUGCGCCUUGUUUGGUGGGAGGAGCUCGAGCCCCCUCGCUGCUGGAAGGGAGAAGCAGCUUGAAGAGCGUUGCGCGUUUGGAGGGGGAGCUGCAUGGCGUGACCGCAAGACAAUGCACGGCUUCUUGGCGCUCCGUGGUCUCAGAGUUGAGAGCUACUACUAUCUCAAAAGUAUGAGCAGCCAGUACCAUCAUUAUAUAGGCCGGCAGACUGAUCCCGCAUGCUCAACAAGAUAAAUGAGAUUGCGGGCUUCACCCACGUUUUUUCUUUUUGCGAGGUGCUCGAGGUUUUACACAAAUCCUUCAUCUGAAAUUUCGUCGUUUAGAUGAUCACGUGCUUCGUCAACACGGGGGUAAUCCUUUAUGUGAAAAAUACACAUGGAUAAUCAUCAUUGUAGAAGUGAUCCUUGUGUAUAAGAAAAUCACUAUGUCGGUUGUACCAAAUAUACCGACAACAAUAAGCAGUAUGUUCACUUAUUGAUUUUUACACAAUACAUAUUGUGUUUUGCAUUUUGAUUAAGAAUUAAGAUUCCAUCAAGAACCAAUUAUGUAUGAAUCUAGUGAUCCACAUGGAUAUGUAAUCACUACAUAGAGAUAUGAUUUUGUACUGUCAAUGAUAUAAGGUAUCAGAAAGAGAUUCCACCUCUGGAGAAUAGUUUGGGUAUCUGUAUGAACCGUUGUGCUACAAGACUUGCUCAAUGUUUCACCACCUUGUUGUUCUCAUCAUGUUUCCGGAAUAAAACAGGUGUAGGUAUAUAUUGCAUUGUGAAUACCCUCCCAUUACUGAGUCAGAUUAUUUUCGCCUAGAUUGCAUCCUCUAUUUGUGUUGAGUCUGAGUGUUGUUCACACUUUGCAUGCCCAUGGUCUUUGGACCUAAAUCACUCAAUCUAGUUGAGAAAUGUAUGUCGGCAAUUGUAAGCAUUCGGUUAUAUGCCUCCAGAAUCUAUAUAUGUAUAUAUAGUUGACGGCAAUAUCAUUAUCCAUGGUGACUAUUCGCGAUUUCCCAAUGCGGUUGAGUCGGCUAUUCCAAUGUCCCGGUCAUUGUGUGGACUGUGACCUGGGUUGUUGGAGGUUGCCCAUCUGGGUGUAUACUACCCAUUAGGGGUCUAUCAACGUGAAGUUGAUGAUGUAUUUUACACUCAUUCCACCAUGUUCAAACUGGACAAUCCCAUAUAUUCCAUGAAAUCACUGAUCUUUUCACUAAUGACAAACAAAUGCAGAAGAUUACAUAUCCCUUUGUUUAGUUUGUUUCUAUGGGAAAAGGAUCAACAAAGGAAAGGAAAUGAAAUUAUACAUGGAAAUAUGAAGUCGAAUAGAGAUAGCUUUUAUUGUUUCCGUCCUGACAUUUGCACUUCUUUUGGGUUUAUGAUGCCAUUUUCCGGGGCCGUUACCUGUUUAGCCCACUGGGUAAAAGCAUGUACUGGUGCUAUGCACAUUAGUGUCGUGCAUUAGUGAUAGAUCUGGCAGGGUGUGACAUUCGUAUUUCCUUCCUUUUUGUGUGGAAUUUUACAUUUUUUGUGGUGGGUACUACCUUGCUUGGGUCUAUUCGGGUUGAUGUUGGUCCAUGCAACGGGGCCACUAAACUGCGAGGUCGCGUUAAAUGCAUCAAUCCACUAUCGCACGACAUGUCUUUAUUGGAAUCUCUUAAAAGACUUAUAUUUUGAAACGGAGGGAGUAGAUUGGAACAAUCCUGCUAAGCGGGAGCCAUGCAUGCCAGUCAAACGUGAGCGAUCAGUACAAUAAACUGCACGACCCUCCGUGGCUCUAGGAUUCGGUUGGAACCAAGCCCCAACAGGAAAAACAACCUGUCUAAGCUGCUACGUUUUGCCCAGCGAAAGCCUUCUUUCCCGUUUGGUGAUCCCCUCUCUGUAGUCGGGCGCACAUAACCGCUCGCUCGACCCUCGACUGUGUAUCAGGAAAUUACCAUGACCAGAGUCAAACACACGGCACAAACUAACAAAAGGACCAUUUGUAUGUGUUGACAUGGCUCCUAUGGUCUGAUGGGAUGGAUAGUGAUCUCCAUGGCUCUCUGCGCCACAUCUGCACCAGCCACACAGCCCACUCUGCCCCGUUGCUCUGCACCCAGCGAAAGCCUUCUCUUUGUUUUGGCAUUCCCCUCUCUAUAUCCGGAAUUAGAUCUCAAGCUCACAAAGUAUGAUAAUGAUCUCGUCAUGUGGCAUUGCGCUUCAAGCUGAUCGACUUAUGAAAUGAGUUACCAUUCAAAGCUUUGAGGUGUUUUGCGAUGGUGCGUGAAGUAAUUGCUUGAAGUAAUGUUUUAGAUUGAUAUUGUGUUCUUUGAAGGGUUCUCUAACAUGAGUUUUCCAUGCCGGACAGGAAGACGAGAAUACGUCAGGCAACCAGAUCCCGCGGAUCAUUACCCUUGACAUCACGCAUUCGCUCACCGAGCACGGAGCAAGUGGUUAGCCAUCCCAUCCCACUCCGACCCAUCGAGCACAUUCUAUGAAGAAACCAAAGCAAACAUUACCCAUCCAAUCCCACACCAACCGAAUGACAUCGAUGGGACCACACCACCUCCCCCUUGGCAAAUUGAUGCGGAGCAUCCCAUGGUCAUCCCCAUGGACCUACCAUCGUCUCAUCAAGAGCCAAGAGGACCCAUGACACGAGCACGAGCUAGAGCUCUCGAGAACGAGGUGACUUCCUUCCUUAGUGAUAUCACAUAUGAUCCACUCGAGACAUGGCUACUACCUAAGUCCGAUAUGCUAUGCAUGAUUAGGUGUCAAGAGGACCCUCCCGGAGAUGCUCAUGAAGACGGACAAGCCGGCAAAUUCAUGGACAAGGAGGACCAACGGGAAGAGUCAAGUGCAACUCCCAGGACCCGGACAUCCGGCCAGGACCCCGGACGUCCGGCCCCUGGAAACGUCACCAGCGCCAAGGAGCCAGCGGCCAAGUCUACAGGCCCCGGACAUCCGGCCGCAGCCCGGACAUCCGACCCAAAAGCCCGGACAUCCGGCGCCCGUCACAGAACGUACCCGAAGCUGAACCACUUCAGCCCGGACAUCUGGCCCGUCCAGAGCUCCCUGACAUCCGGCCCCUCGCCCAGACAUCUGGACCCCGUCUAUCCAGAGAGCAUCCAGGCCAGCCACGCCAGCCCGGACAUCCGGCCCCUCGCGAAGGCCCGGACAUCCGGCCUCCCCUGUCUGCGCACAGUGUAAGGGCCGAGGCCCGUGUACCCCUUCGCCCACCUAGACUAUAUAUACUCCACCAUCUACCUCUUUCUAGGGUUAGCAUUGGUUUAGCUCAUAUGUGAGAUAGAGCUUUGCUCAUCCAUUACGGAUCUACUCCACGAGAGACCGCGGCCCCUCUACAGAGAAGAUCCCCUUGGAUUCAAGACCCCCUCUUGGGUGGCCCCAUCAAGACCUCCUCACGGAGAAGAACCGGUUACCUCUUGUAUCGUCCCUUGUUGACUUUGGAUCGUGUAUCUCCCCUUUGUGUUCCGAGGAUCUAGCAUAUGUGUGACUAUAUCUUGUUGGUUUGAGAGUUCCUCUUGUGUUUUCCCUUGUGUUUCCCCGUGUGUUCUUCGUGUUCUUAGUUGGGAUCCGCUCCUUUCGUGAAAGAUCGGCCGUAUAGGGUUCCACCCUACAUCAUCUUGGUAUCAUGAGCCACAUUGAUCACGAUUUUGGAGCCCCCUCUCUUUGUUUUCUAGCCUAGUUUUGUUGAUUUUGUCCCUAAUUCGAAAAUUGCCCCACAAAAAUAGCCCCAAUUUUUUUUUGUGAUUUGUUGGUGUGAUGAAGUUUUGUUGGAUUUGAUCCGCAGAUUUCGUGUGUUGCAGGUAGAUCUAGCUUUCCCCCAUCUUUUCCCCAAUUUCCAUCCACAAAAUCUCUCGAAUUUUGCCCCGGAUUUGACCUCUCCACGCGGUGUUCAUCGAGUUCGUCCACGGAUCCAGAGCCCGGAAAUCCGGCCCGACAGCCCGGACAUCCGGCCACCCCGGACAUCCGGCCCUCAGCCCGGACAUCCGGCCCCUGACAGCAUCACUCCCAUCCACCACUCCGUUUCCCGCCAAACUUUCGCCCAAUUUUGUUCCGGUGCCCACAUUCCACUUCCGCGUAACCCCACCACUUCCGCAUAGCACCACCAUAGCUCUCCCGCUACCAACUCUGACAAUUUUGAGACGCUUUGCUUUGAAAAUUUGAGUUGCGGUUCCCGUGUCCUAUUGUGUUUCGGCUAUUUAGGUACGGUUCGACAUCGACAUCACCGCUGCUCAUCUUCGCCACGGACUACUACGAACGGUAACCUCAUCUGGGUAUCGUGAUAUCAUCAUACUUUCUUGCAAUUGCAUUGAUAACCCCAUAGCCUUACUUUUGCGUCACUUACCCAUCAAGACUAGCCUUUGAGUAUUGCCGGCAAUGUGACUUGUGCACAUUAGUGAUCAUACUUCCCAUAGCAUCCAUACCAUAUCAUAGUGUUGCAUAUCUUGGUAUCAUCUCUUGUGUCACAAAGUUGUCAUCGCAUAUACUCAAUUGCUACCUUGGUUCGUGAAGUUUUGCAUGAGAAAAGAGCUCAAACAACAAAGAGCCAAACAAGCUUUUAAGCAAAAGGGAAAUAAGCAAAGAGAAUUAUAAGCAAGAACCAUAGCAUCAUACAACAUUAAGAUUGUCAUACUCGAUCAUCUUGGAUCAUAUCAUCGGAAUACCAUACAUAUAGCAUACUUGGGAUAGAAAUCGUUGCAUUUUUGCUUAGUAGGUUGUGCACAAGUUCGUAUCCGCCUAUUGUGCAAUCGUGCUAGUGUCUCUCUAGUGUUGUGCAACAAGAGCAUUUUCGUGGAUUCCACAUGUUGGCUCAUCCCUUGGUUGCACGACCCCACUUAUCUAUUUGCGUGUGUGUUUCCGUGUACCACAUCUUGCUAUUGGUCUACUUGUUGCAUUUGCAAAUUUGCGAAUCUUUUCCAACAUUAUUGAGUCCCACUUACAAUUGCAUCAAAUUUUGUGCCACCAUCCUAACCAAGCUCCACUAUAAGCUUUUACUUGUGUAGGUGUGAGAAACCGACAAGAAUUGGUACCAAUUGUGCUAUUUCCUUGUUACACAUUGAGUGAUCAUUGAUCCAUCUUCAACAUCGGUCAAGGUACAUUUGGUAUAAGUUCUUCUCUUUCUCCCACUCACAUAUUUGUUUGCAAUGAUGGAUAGGCCAAGUACCUCUACCAACCCACUCUUCCUUGAACACGACGACGACAUGUCAUCCUACGUCACAAAGAGCCACCUCUUUGGUGCGCAACGAGCCUUGCAUGAAGAGCAACAAGCAUUGAGCGACCGCAUCGACAACCUCGCCACCGACUUGCGACUCUUCGAGCAACGUACAAGAGACUACUUCGACAACAAGCUCGACGAACAAAAGCAAGAGAACAAUGUAGGAAUGGACGAGAUUCGUGCCUUGCUGGUCAACCGCUCUUCUACCACUUCGUCCUACUCAAGAAGGAGCCGCUCAAGUCGACACUCCGACGACACUAUCUCUGGCUCAAGUACCCCGACAUCAAACACUCUUCGUCGUGCCGCGUGUCAAGAUCGUCAAGCUAACCGCAAUCCUCUACACGACACCGACUCUCAAGAGCAUCGACAUCGUCAAAACCAAGCUACAUUCGCGCAAGCACAAGAACGGCAACGCCAACGACAACAAGAACAAGAGGAGCAAGCGCGACAACACCAAGAUGCACAAGAUGCCGAGGCACAACGCCAAGAACAACAACUACGAGAAGCUCAAGCACUUGAGGCGCAACGUUCCCUUCGAGAUUCAAGUCGAGUCGUAGCCAACCCAGGACGACAAGCCCGUGAGCACCAAGAAGUGCUUCGCGAUGAAGUUCAAGAAAGGAUUUAUCACGCACGUGUGCAUCGUAAAGUUCCUCGUCAAGAUCGACAAGCGCCUCCUCAAGCUCGACAAGAACCUCAAGUUCGCCAAGAGAAUGAAGACAAUGGAAAUCCUCCAAGACAAGAGCAACAUGAGAACGACAACCCUCCUUGUCAAGAGCAACAUGAGUUUGUCAAUCCUCAACGACAUGGGCGUCAUCAUCCCCGACCCCAACACAAUGAAGAACAACGCUACGGCAAGCUAAAGUUCACCAUGCCCAAGUUCACCGGAAGCAAUGACCCCGAAGAGUACAUAUCAUGGGCAUUGAAGGUUGACAAAAUAUUCCGCUUGCACAACUACGAAGAAGAGAAGAAGAUCACGAUGGCAUCCCUUGAGUUCCAAGACUACGUCCUCAUUUGGUGGGAACAAGUCCUUGAGCGCCGUGGAGCACGAGGUGAACCACCCAUCACAACUUGGGCGCAAAUGAAGGAUGUCAUGAGAGCACGCUUCGUGCCGAACUACCACAACCGCGACCUCUACAAGAAACUCCAACUACUCAAGCAAGGAACCAAGAGCGUUGAAGAGUACUACAAGGAAAUGGAGAUUGCCAUGAUACGAGCCAAUGUCACGGAAGAUGAUGAGCAAACUAUGGCACGUUUCUUGAAUGGACUCAAUCAUCCUAUCAAGAAGAUCGCCGACUUCCAACCAUACUCAAACCUCAUCGAGCUAGUGCAUCAAGCUACCAAAGCGGAACGUCAAGUGCAAGAUGACUUCAAGUACGCCAAGUACUCAUCCAAGUCCUAUGGCUUCUCCAACAAUCAAGCUUCACCGACUCCAACAACUUCUACCUCAACCAAGCCAUCUACAAGCAACGGCGACAAGUCAAGUUACAAGAAAACUUCGACAACCUCAAGUCGUCCUCCUACUACAAGCAACUUCAAGCCGAAAGCUUCAUCAUCAUCUACCCCAACUGAUGAGACCAUCAAGACGAGUUCCUUCGAAUGCUUCACAUGCGGCGGCCGAGGCAAGUCCUUCGAGUGAACAAACAAGCGCACCAUGAUCCUCAACGACGAGGGAACCUAUGACUCCAUGAGUGAAGAGGAGAUGGAAGCCCUUGAGCAAGUGGCCAUGCACAUGCGCGUGAACGAAGAUGAAGAUGAUCAAGUCUUUUGUGACGAAGAUUCGAGCCCCGCUCUCAUUGUCUCCAAGGUCUUGACUCUUCAACAUCAACAAGAAGAAGACCAAAGAUGCCAUAUCUUCCACACCAAAGCCGACAUCAAUGGAAGGUCCGUCAAGGUCAUCAUCGAUGGAGGGAGUUGCCAUAACUUAGCAAGUGAAGAACUAAGUUCCAAGAUCCAAUUGGAUAAGAUGAAGCACCCGCACCCUUACAAAGUUCAAUGGCUAAGCGACAACGGCACCAUCCAAGUCGAGCAUAGGGUACAAGUCUCUUUCAAGAUCGAAGCUUACGAAGACACUUUGGAGUGUGAUGUCCUUCUGAUGACCGUUUGCCACCUCCUUCUUGGACGACCAUGGCAAUUUGACCGAGGUGUCAUCCACAACGGGCGUACAAACCACUAUAGCUUCAAGAUGAAAGGGAAGGAGUAUGUGCUACGAACUAUGUCUCCAAGCCAAGUGAUCGCCGACAAGCAAGCCACCCAUCGUGGAGAGAAUAGUGAGCGAGCGAACCACCAAAAAGAGAGUGAGCGCCACAAGCCAAAAUUGAGUGCCUCCACGAUGAGCGACAAGAAAACCUUAGUUCUAUUUGCCACCAAACGUGAGAUGAGAGAAGUGUGUGAGAACCCAUCAAGUGGCAUGCACUAUGUCCUUUUGUGCAAAGAUGAGGCACCAAAAGCUAACACCUCUCACAAUCUUCCUCUAGUGUUAUUUUCUCUUUUGCAGGAAUUCCAAGAUGUUUUCCUCGACGAGCUACCUCCGGGUUUACCUCCAAUACGAGGCAUCGAGCACCGCAUCGACCUCAUCCCCGGAGCACCACUUCCAAACAAAGCUCCCUACCGCAUCAACCCCGAAGAAACCAAAGAAAUACAAAGGCAAGUAAAGCAUCUCAUAGAUCAUGGACAUGUGCGUGAAAGUUUGAGUCCUUGAGCCGUCCCGGUCAUUAUUGUGCCAAAAAGAGACGGUAGCUUUCGCAUGUGCUCUGAUUGUAGACCUAUCAAUGCUAUCACCGUUCGCUAUAGGUACCCCAUUCCACGCCUUGAUGAUAUGCUAGAUGAACUUAGCGGUGCCACUAUUUUCUCAAAAAUUGAUCUCAAAAGUGGUUACUAUCAAAUACGCAUACAAGAGGGUGAUGAAUGGAAAACCGCUUUCAAAACAAAGUUUGGUUUGUAUGAGUGGUUAGUCAUGCCUAUGGGUUUAUCAGAAGCACCCGGUACUUUCACGCGUCUUAUGCAUUAUGUGUUUCUCCCUUAUAUUGGAGAAUUUGUUGUUGUCUACUUCGACGAUAUCCUUGUUUUUAGCAAAUCUCUCAAAGAGCAUGUCACCCACCUUCGCACCGUGCUACAAACUCUUCGAAAAAAGUGUCUCUAUGCUAAUAUGGAAAAAUGCCUCUUUGGUGUUGAUAAGCUUGUUUUCUUGGGUUUUGUAGUAUCUUCUAAGGGUGUUAAUGUUGAUGGAUCUAAGAUCAACGCUAUUAAAACUUGGCCCCAACCAACCAAUUUGCAACAAGUGCGUAGUUUCCUUGGUUUAGCCGGUUUCUACCGUUGAUUUGUGAAGGAUUUUAGCACUAUUGCAUCUCCUUUACAUGCUUUGAGCAAGAAGAAUAAUGCACCCUUUAUUUGGGGACCAUCUCAAGAUAGCGCAUUCAAUGAGCUUAAGAAUUUGCUUACUCAUGCUCCCGUGCUUGCAUUACCCAAUUUUGACAAACCCUUUGAAAUUCAUUGUGAUGCUAGUGGUAACGGCAUAGGAGAUGUGUUAAUGCAAGAGAAGCGCCCCAUAGCAUACUUUAGUGAGAAACUCUCCGAAGCGCAACUCAAUUACCCCAUCUAUGACAAAGAGCUUUAUGCUUUAGUGCGAGUUUUGCGUGAAUGGGAACAUUAGCUUCGCCCUCAUGAAUUUGUCAUCCAUACCGACCAUGAAACGCUUAAGUAUCUUAAGGGUCAAACUAAGUUGAACAAGCGUCAUUCUAAAUGGAGUGAGUUUAUUGAGUCUUUUCCUUAUAUCAUCAAGUAUAUUAAAGGUAAAGAAAAUAUUGUGGCGGAUGCACUUUCCCGUAUAUGCAUGCUUGUUACACAACUUGAAUUGAAUGUCAUUGGUUUUGAGCACAUAAAAGACUUGUAUGAGCAUGAUACAACUUUUGCUAUUCCUUAUGCCAAGUGUUUGACGCAUACUUCUUGGUAUCGAUAUUACCUCAAGGAAGGUUAUCUUAUGAGAGCUAACAAACUUUGCAUCCCCGAGUCUUCUCUUCGUUUGUUACUUUUGCAAGAAUCUCAUGGGGGAGGACUAAUGGGACACUUUGGACGCGAAAGACAUUUGCUAUGCUCUCCAAGAACUACUUUUGGCCCAAGAUGUUUCGUGACGUCAACCGCUUCCCCAACCGAUGCUCUACAUGUCGCAAAGCUAAGUCUAAAGCUCAAUCUCAUGGACUAUAUAUGCCUCUUCCAAUUCCGUACCAACCAUGGGAAGAUAUUAGCAUGGAUUUUGUCCUUGGUUUGCCUAGAACUAGAAAUGGCAAGGAUUCCGUUUUUGUUGUUGUGGACCUAAAAUGGCACACUUCAUACCAUGCAACAAGAUAGACAAUGCUUCACAUGUUGCAAAUCUUUUUUGUAGGGAAAUCUUGCGCCUGCAUGGAGUGCCAAAGACGAUUGUCUCGGACCAUGACGUCAAUUUCUUGAGUUACUUUUGGAAGACCUUAUGCGCCAAGCUCAAAAUCAAGCUCUUGUUCUCUUGGGCAUACCAUCCUCAAACCGACGGCCAAACGGAGGUGACGAACCGUACACUCUCCACUCUACUACGCGUGUUGAUAAAGAAGAACAUCAAGGAGUGGGAGGAGUGCCUACCAAUCGCCGAGUACGCCUACAACCGUGCAAGACAUUCGACUACCGGCAAGUCCCCCUUCGAGGUCGUCUAUGGCUUCAACCCGUUGUCACCAUUGGACAUUCUUCCUCUACCGCUACAAGAGCGCACAAACAUGGACGCGAGUGCCCGAGUCAACUACCUCAAGAAGAUGCAUGAAGAUACAAGGCACACCAUCGAGCGCCAAGUACAACGACUCGCGACCAAGCUCAACGUCAACAAGCAACCCAUGAUAUUCAACAUUGGAGAUCUUGUGUGGCUACACCUUCGCAAGGACCGCUUCCCCAACGAACGCAAGUCCAAACUCCUACCACGAGUCGACGGACCCUUCAAGGUGCUUGCACGCUACAACAACGCAUACAAGAUCGACAUCCCACGCGACAUGUACUCCGUGAGCGACAUCUUCAACGUCAAAGAUCUCUCCCCGUACCAUGGUGAUGAGGAUUUAGAUUCGAGGUCGGAUCUUUCCCAAGGGAGGGGAGAUGAUGCGGAGCAUCCUAUGGUCAUCCCCAUGGACCUACCAUCGUCUCAUCAAGAGCCAAGAGGACCCAUGACACGGGCACGAGCUAGAGCUCUCGAGAACGAGGUGACUUCCUUCCUUAGUGAUAUCACAUAUGAUCCACUCAAGACAUGGCUACUACCUAAGUCCGAGAUGCUAUGCAUGAUUAGGUGUCAAGAGGACCCUCCCGGAGAUGCUCAUGAAGACGGACACGCCGGCAAGUUCAUGGACAAGGAGGACCAACAGAAAGUGUCAAGUGCAACUCCCAGGACCCGGACAUCCGGCCCCUGGAAACGUCACCAGUGCCAAGGAGCCAGCGGCCAAGUCUACAGGCCCCAGACAUCCGGCCCGAAAGCCCGGACAUCCGACCCCCGCCCGGAAAUCCGGCACCCGUCACAGAACGUACCCGAAGUUGAACCACUUCAGCCCGGACAUCUGGCCCGUCCCGAGCUCCCGAACAUCCGGCCCCUCGCCCGGACAUCGGGACCCCGUCUAUCCAGAGAGCAUCCAGGCCAGCCACGCCCGCCCGGACAUCCAGCCCCUCGCGAAGGCCCGGACAUCCGGCCCGCCGCCCGGACAUCCGGCAUCCCCUGUCUGCGCACAGUGUAAGGGCCGAGGCCCGUGUACCCCUUCGCCCACCUAGACUAUAUAUACUCCACCAUCUACCUCUUUCUAGGGUUAGCAUUGGUUUGGCUCAUAUAUGAGAUAGAGCUUUGCUCAUCCAUUACGGAUCUACUCCACGAGAGAGACCGCGGCCCCUCUACAGAGAAGAUCCCCUUGGAUUCAAGACCCCCUCUUGGGUGGCCCCAUCAAGACCUCCUCACAGAGAAGAACCGGUUACCUCUUGUAUCGUCCCUUGUUGACUUUGGAUCGUGUAUCUCCCCUUUGUAUUCCGAGGAUCUAGCAUAUGUGUGACUAUGUCUUGUUGGUUUGAGAGUUCGUCUUGUGUUUUCCCUUGUGUUUCCCCGUGUGUUCUUCGUGUUCUUAGUUGGGAUCCGCUCCUUUCGUGAAAGAUCGACCGUAUAGGGUUCCACCCUACAUCACAAAUGCUCUGAGCCAUCGUAACCGGCAGUGCGACCAACAAGACCCAAGUAAGCCCGCCAAACACGCUAGCCGGCCAUGUGCAGCUGCGGCAGGAUACUGGGCAGGCAAUGCCCUUCCAUAGGCAACCCCUAGGGCUGACACCCACAUGUAUCUUCCCUCACAGGGUGCUUGGUAUAUUCUCCCACGAGGGCUUGGCUUCCGAGGUACUUAGUCUCGAAGGAGCUUGGCAAUCAAGGUCCUACUUGCCUUUCACUCAACGGGUGCUAGGUGCACUACCUGGACCUACUUGGUCCAUGUCUCAAUAGUUUAAGAUUGGAAUUUGCUCCUACGGUGACAAAGAGAUAAAGUUUGGGACCACUUGGUAUGGAAAUGCACCACGUCAAAUGGAAUAGCCACGAGCGUGAGGACAAGAAGACCGCACGGUAAAACACAAUCCAGGUCCAACGAUGAAACGACCGGAAGGAGACGACCAAGACCAGCGACAUGCCAGUCCAUCAUGCACCGAUCAACGAACAGGAAGACAAUGGUUGAAAGCCCCGAAAAGGCAUGUACUCUCACUCAUGCCGAUGUCAUCAUGCGACAACCCAAGACCCACCUGGCACGACGCGAGGAAGGGCCCACCAAAAUCAGCUACAUCCCACGGCGACGGAAAGUUGAGCAGACAUCCAAAAACACACUUCAGCGACAGUGAGAGGCUGAAUAGGAAAACCCCUCUUGAUCUGAACAAGACCAACCGGUGGAACCACCCCACAAGGCAACCCGACACCUAGUUCACACAACACAAGAGGGAAAUGAAAUUGGACAGGGUCCAUAGUGUCCAAAAUUCAUGUGGGCAUCCGAAAUCUUGAAUGAUCUACAAGAGUUUUGGCUCAGAUUUCGGCUAUGAGUUGGUUACUGUCUAUAGCAGCAAUGUCAUGACGAAUAAUAUCCGGCUUUCUCUUGAGGGAGUGUGUAGGUGGAAAAAAUAAUGUCGGUUGCUGCACUGGAAAGAGACGAAUCUUGGUCUGUAGUAUUCGACUUAAGCCACAACAAACCCCCCGAUUGCAUGUAUCAUUUUGUUUGACAUGGUCUCGUCACCGUAAAAAGGAGCACCAUCACGACCAUUCCCAGAAACCCUAGCCACUGCCAUCGUUGCCGUCAUCUCCAUCUCCAUAGCCAUUCUCCCCAUAGUUUGCCAUACUUGUAAUUGAUACAUCGCAUACGACGACAUUGUUUGUCAUUCAUUAAUAUAUCAAUGCCAUCUACAAUGUUUUCCAUCUUUGAAACGAUCGAGGUGUGUGAAUAUUCCCAACAAGCCAUGGGUUCGGGCAUAGCCUUGCACCCCUAUGUACCUAUGCAUAGGAUCGUUGGUGCUGACAUUGUUUAAUUGAAUGUUAUGUUAUACGUCUUGUCACAUCGGAUUUGUCUCUUGUGCCUUUCUCGUUCUAAGACUCGGUAGGUACCAGGAAUCCCUUAGAUCAAUCCAAUAGGAGGUAAAGUGUAGGGACACAUGGAAAGCUACGCCGAACGCCGGUGACAGUAAGGAUUCGUAUUGUACCAAAAUCAAAUCAUUGGGGACCAUGAGGUGUAUUCAUUAAACGCCCAAUGAAUUAGUCUGGAUAAAUCCUUAAUAAUCGAGGUAAACCCGCAAGAAUGUAAAGGCCUUGGUUGGAAAACAAACUCAGGAUGUAGGUUGUUGAUUGGUCUUGACCUUAUUUAGAUGCAUCCCCCACAACUACACGUUCAUAACACAUCAUAAACGGUGUCUACCAGAACCAUGUUGGAAAUCAAGACAAGAUCCUAAUUGCAAGUAUAAGGUUGUAAGUAAAGUCUUCAUGCCCUAGCCUAUUUCAUUCCAUAAGUCUCUCUUUAAAGUAAACUGUGAUAAUUUGGUCUGGGGAACAAAAACUUCUAACAACAACAAUAGCGUUUUUGAAUCCCUGUCUAAUAGAAGUACUUCCUACGGGUUGAUGCCAAGGGUCACCCUUGGGUAAAAAAAGGUAGGGACAAUCUACAUCCAACCAUUUGUUAGCACAAAAGCAGGGGGUUGCCAAUACUUUUUGCUUUAGUGAGUAUAUUUGUAAAACAAACUUGAUAAAAUAUUACACCUAUUAAUUGCCUUAGCAUUAAUCACCCCAACCCAAUAGGUCAUAAGGUGCACUUUCAAGAACUAAAGGUGCCAAAGGAAACUCGAAGGAAGAAGAAGGGAGGAGCAAGGAGGUGAAGGGAUGUGAGGACCAAGGCACGUGAGUGUCUUCUCUGUUUGGGUAAUUAGCAACCCACCAGGGCAACCGCGCCCAAGAAAAGGGUAGAACAAGAGCUUCCAUUUUUGGCAAUGGAGGCUUGUGCAUUUUGGUAGUUUCCAUAAAUAGAAGGCUAGUAGAUCGGUCCGUGCUACAAAUGUUUGUUUUGUAGCACUAUCGAUAAGAGAAUUCAAACUAUUAUAUGAUAGAGAAACAACAAUAUCACUAGAAUCAACAAUGAGAGCAAAUAAGAAAAUUUCAUGGAUGAUCAUUAAUUGUCAAGCUCCGUCACCAAAGCAUUUGUUCAAUUUCAACACCUGGUACAAGUACAUUCCCGCAGAGUGCAGUGUUGAUUACACUAGAUUAAAGACAUAGCAGUCUACUAUAGAGAGGAUAGAGUACAUGUUAUUAUGGGCCAUUGCAAGUAGGAAGCACAUCAUCCAUGCAAGGAGUGUAGAUGAAAGACUUAUGUAAGGCCAAAUAUUGAGGAUUAGAACAUCCAUCUGGGUAAAGUGAUCCCAAGUAGCGCAACUUAGAGGUACCAAGGUAGUAAGCAAACCCAUAUAAGCUACGGGUCACCAGAAAAGCAAUCUCCUUGUUUGGAUGGUACCCAAUAAAGCGUAUGCCAUUAUUAAAUAUAAUAUGUUGUUCCAUAUCUUCAUCUAAUUCUUCAGCCUCUUCUUCUUCCCCAGAAUCAUCAGCAUGACUUUCACCACUAGAGUCCCACUCAUUGUCUUCUCCAUCACCAAACUCGUUGUCUUCUCCAUCACCCAGCUCGUUGUCUUCUCCAUCACCCAACCCUUGCGCUCUAGUGUAGCAUCGUUUAAAAGAGGGAAUAAGCCCAAAAUGACACUUUAGCUCCCACUCAUGCACUAGACAUGGUUUGGAUUCCUCAAGUAGUACCCAUGCUUGAAGUUGGGAUCCAUAGAUGGUUGUGCAGUAUACUCCAUGUUUCGAUUUCCCAAGAUGCAUUUCAGGCUCACAAACAGUAAUAUUAGGCAUCACCGCUACUUCCGGGGAUCUGAUGACUACAGAAGUUUUCUUCUCCAAUGAAAACCUAUUCAUAUGUGUUUUCAAAAGCUUUUUAAUGAUUAUACAAAAAGAACAAUAUUAAUUUAGAUGAUUGUAGCUGAUAUUACCAUUAUAUAUGCACCUUAUGACCACAUGAUUGGCAGAUCAUCUGUAACCUAGAGGGAUUGCAAUCCUCCCGUAAACAGAUCAUAGUUUAUUUUUGCUAAAGAUGGUGAAGUUAACAGCCAGAACUAAAUUUUAUCUUCUGCUUAUACUAACCAACAUUUGGACUUAAAUUAAUUUCCGCAAAAGUGAGGUGUUUUGUGUUGGGGAUUCUUACUGGGCAUAUUUGGCCAUGCAAGUUGAGAUCUUUGACCAUGACCUACUUGGGUAUCUCUACAGAUUCAAAGAAAAUUUAAAUGCUUCAUGGAAACUUGUAGAAAUUUGACUCUAAGACGAGUGUUAGAAGGGCAAGCUCCUUUCCAUUAGAGGGAGAGUUUGCCUAGAGAAAUUGAAAGUCAAGUGGAUGUAUUUAGUAAAUGUUUGUUUUGGCAAGAGGAUUUGGUUAACUACCAAUUGCAUCUAGUGAAUGAGGGACUAUAGGUAAACCUAAAGAUAUGGGAGGAUUGGGAGUUUUGAAAUUGGAUUUGAUAAAUAUAAGCUUACUUGCAAAAUGGUUGUGAAAAUUAGAGUUGAUCAAGGUGUUUGGCGAGAUGUUCCCAAGGAAACCUAUCUUGAGAAUAUUACGCUAACCCAAUCUCCGCAAAAAAAAAACAGACCAAUCUCUGUUUUGCUCCAAGUUAAUGGAAAUUAAAGAUCUCCCAAAAUUCUUCUGAAAUGGAUAGUUCCUAAUGGAAAAUGAGUGGCUCUAGGAGGAUAUGUUUAACAGGAUAAACACUUAAACAUAACUUUCUCUAAGCUUUUCACUAUCACUUUCAUUCACAACAUCAUGCUAGAUACAAUGAUGACUAUAGGCUUAAAUGGCUUAAUUUUCAUAAGAAAUAUUUGGAGGCAUUGCAAAGAUCAGUGGGCACAAAUGGAAGAGCUAAUUAGUGAUGUAAGUAUUUUAGAUAUAGACAACUUUAUUUGGAUUCGUGUAUCCAAUGGUGUUUACUUUGUCAAAUCCUUCUAUUUAGAACUACAGUGCGAUAUUCCUCUGUCCCCAAAGAAAUAUUUAUGGAACUAAAGCUUCUGUUCAAAAGUUAAAAUCUCAUGUUGGCUAGUGCUUCACAUAACCAUUUGGAGUGGAGAUGUUUGGUUGCAUAGAGGGUGGACUAGGUAGUAGAAAUGAUUGUUUUGUGACGCUCAAGAGAUAAUUGAUCACCUUUUCAUUUCAUGUUCGAUUGCACAUUUUGUAAUGGGGGUUUGCAGUGUGCCAUGAACUUUCAUAUGUGAUGAAUGGAUUGAGAAAUUUCUUCUGUGGUAGAGUAAAAUGUUCCCUGCCAAUGUGGCGGAAGUCAUCUAAGGCUCGGAGUGUAGUUGUGAAUAAUGACAAUGAUUUAAUUUCUAGAUGAUCCUAUUGCUACUAUAUAACAUAUAUGUUGUUGUAUUCAUUUGUGGUCGAAUUUGCACAAGGAAAACGCGAGAUGUUCUCCCACAAGAAUCGAAAAAACUACAAGAGCUAGUUCAUAGGCUGGGCACCAACUGCCCAGACAUUGAAGUGAAGAAUGAUCUGAUUCAAGCUACUAUUACUCUUGCUGAAGUAAGGUGAUCCUGAUGGAGUCACGCUACUUCUCUGAGUCCUAGUGCGAUUUUUCGUUCACAUCAUGGCUUGGUUGAAGAUGAUAGAGUGCAUAAGAAAUCUUUUGUAAUUUCUGCUAAGCAUGUAGAGUAUAGGAGCGACUAUUAGUAAGUUGCCUGAAAAAGGUUCAGUUUUUAGUCAAUUGUUGCAUCGUGUCUUCAUCUUCCUCGCUUUCCACCUAACGGCUUGGUUCACCCUCGUGGACCUGCCCUCCGCUAGGUGACGAACCACCGUCCCCACCACCUGCAGACUUUGCUGCCUCACCAUGCCCUUCCCAAGCUACCACCGCCUCAUACAUCCCUCUAAACCCUCCCCCUGUUUCUCUAUCACCAACGCCCUCUGCCCCCCGCACCAUAGCCACACCAACCAUCGCUUCGCCUCCACCGGCGGCACCGCAACAAACCAUGGUGUCCCUAUCUUCGGCUCAUUCCAGACCAACCUUCACCAGGCUAGCCAGGCCAUCUGCAUCGCCGACUCGGUGCCUGCACAAAAUCUACCACUGACUGCAAAUUUCCAGGUGCCUGGAGAAUAUCAAACACGGUAUAUAACUCUUCGUGUGUGAGUUAUAACCUAAUGGUGUUUAGGUCCUUCUCUCCCCAAUUAUGAUAUGAUGAGAGAGGAUUUCGGUUUUCAAUUCUUCCUUACUAUAUAUGCAAAACUGUAUUGUAUAAAUCAACUGGUUGGUUUGUUAACUAAUUGCAGAGGAAAUGUACCUUAUGAUGAAACCAGUGGGGCAAUGAAGAUAGAAUGCCCCUCGCCAGUACACGGCAUGGCGCUUUCGUUCAUUGAUUCGAUCUGCCCACAUGGCCACCGUUGUUGCACCUCCUUCUCGGACAAAUGUCAUGUCAUCCCACUGGCCGCUUCUCGAGCAGUACACUUUCACCAUGUAGGAAGACGGCGGCCAUUCCAUCGACUGAUCAUGUUUGUUGGGCUCGGGGAAGAAGAAGACGCUGUAGUGCAGCGACUCGGUGGGGUCGAACAGGAGGUAAUAGGCGCCGGGGCGAUAUGAGGGCAAAGGGGGAAGCUCCGCCCACCGCCGCGUCGCGGGGUUGCACACGUACAACGCGUACUCGCCCUCGUACAGGAGGAGGCCGUUGCGGUGGUCGAGGACGAUCCCCCGCCCCGUUUCCACCUCCGGUGGGAUCAUGAAAUCGAGCGCCGUGGCGUUGAGGCCGAUGCCCGUAGGGCCGGCCCCGCAGGGGAAGAAGUAGGGCCGGUCCUCGUAGGAGAAGUUGAUGAUGAUGCCGCCGACGUGGUGCGGCACCCGGUGCUCCACCGCGAGCAUCAGCCCGUUGGAGUCCACGGCGGCGCGCCAGCCCUUGCGGACGGCCCGGCACGUAGCGAUGCCCCGCGGCGGGAGGCGGCGGAGGAUCUCGGCGAGCAGCUCCAUGGGGAGACGAUCCAUGGCGGACAUGGUGGGCAGCGCGAUUGCGGCGUCGUCCUCGUCUAGGGUUUGGGCGGCGGCGGCCGCCGCAGCCUCCUGCGCGUCACUCAUCUGUCGGGGUCAAGGAUUGGUCAGGGUUUGCUUCCGCUUUCUGUUUGCAGGCUUUAUUAAAACAAAGACGCAUCAGGCUUCAUUUCUGUUGCCGUCCACCUGUAAGCCCAGUAGGCCCGACCCACCACAUAGCUUUGCCCGGUUAUUUUUUUCUACUAAAAGGAGCUUCGUCUAAAAAUUAAAUUUACAGCACGUUUUCUAAAAUUAUCAGUGUACUACUUUUUAUUAUAUUUGUAUAAAAUGAAGAGUAAAUUUUAAAAUUCCUUAUGUUGCUCGUCAAGGAAAAAUAAUGCCGGCAAAAGGAUGUGUGCGAGAGGCCUCACAACAUUUCGAUAUAAGAUAUUGAAAGUCGUAUCCUACUCAUUUUAAGACCGACUUGGCCAAGGAUGCAUGCGUCAGCUUUCAUGGCAAAAGAAAAAAAUAAGGACCGAUAUUUCAUGUCAUGCGGUUGUAUUAUUUUGUUACCAACAUAAAUUGCAAGGAAAUACACAUUGAAAUGUAGAUGUAUGCACUAGCCAGCAGAGAAAAUACAUCACAUCUAUUUGCAGAUUUACACGUGGGGUGGAUAGAGUACAACCUUUUUAACUAUAAUGGAUUGACAUACAUUAUGAUGAGACCACUGCCACAAAUCCUUUUAUUUUAGGAUCCCCACUGCCACAAAUCCUGAUAAGUUGGGUCCAAAAACAGAUAUAGUAUGUUUUUGGUCCCUCAAGUUUCCCAAAAGUAUAGACUUAGUCCCUGAAGAUUUUUGGUAGACAUUUGGUCCUUCAAGUCUCACAACUUGAUACGUUUAGUCCAAAACUAGAUAUACAAUAUGUUUUUAACUAUACAGUUUUUUGGUCCCUCAAGUUCUCCAAAAGUAUAGACUUGGUCCCUCAAGAUUUUUUGGGUAAACAUUUUCGGUCCUUCAAGUCACAAACCAUGAUAAGUUUGGUACAUUGACCGAUUUUGACCACGUUGGCCAGGUUUGACCGACAGACAUUAAAAUCGAAAAGUAGGAAAAAAAAAAACUGAAAUUUUGUGACAACCAAGAUACUUGUGUGCACUAGGUGCAUGUAAUAUUUGUGGCAAAAUAACAUCCGAGAAGCUCUAGCAAAAAAAACCAAAAUUUGCCUUUUAUUUGUCAGCCAAACUUUUAUUCCCACGAGCUUCUCGAAUGUGGAAACACCACAAACAAUUUCAUGCACCUAGCGCACAGUAGCAUCUUGGUUACCAUAAAAUUCCAGGCUUUUUCCAAUUUUUUGCUAUUUUUUAUGAAUUUAUUGUUCAUUGGUCAAACCCGGUCAACAUGGCCAAAAUCUAGUUUUGGACGAAACUUAUGCGUUUCUGAGACUUGAAGGACCAAAUGUCUACCAAAAAUCCUUGAGGGAUCAAGGCUAUACUUUUGUGGAACUUGAGGGACCAACCACAUAUUUUUCUCUAUAUCUUUUGACCCUGUAGAGGAGGAGGCCGUUCCGGUGAGGAUGGUCUCCCAUGGGUAGCCAUGGCACAUGCGGCCGUUGCAGUGUUCUUGAAAAUCUGUCGGUAAACAAGAAAAUUAGAUAUCCUAGAAAACCUAGAGAAUUACACAUUAGGCCUGUCAUUGCAGAGACCUCCCCCUGAGCGCUUUGUGCGCCAUAUAGAGGAUCUGGCGCUCAUGCGCCCUGUCCGCGGGCCAGCCCAACAAUGAGGCCAGCCAGCCAGCUCACUCGGUUUCCCAGUUGAAUGGUUGUGAUUAACCGACCAAAAAUGUAAAUUAAAAAUAUCACAAAAAACAAAAAGGUUCAUGAAUUCCACAAAGUUAAAAAAUUCAAAAAGAUCACAAAAUUCGGAAAGGUUCACAAAUUUGGGAAAAAGUUCAUAUAUUUCUAAAAAAAGUUCACAAACUUUACAAGUGUUCAUAGAAUUAAAAAAAUUGAAAAUUUGAAAAACCGUCAUCAAUUUUGAGAAAAUUCAUCAAUUUUGAAAAAACAUCAAAUUUGAAAAACAUCAUGCUUUUUGAAAAAACUAAGAAAAUUAAAAAUAACAGUAAAGAAAAAUAAAGAAGAAAAGAGAGAAGAAAAAGGAAAAUAAAAAGGAAAGAAAUAGAAAAGAGAAAACCAAACAAAACCACUUCAGAAAAUAAUCAAAAUCAUGAAAAAAAACCGGUUGGGAAGCUUCAAAACCGGGAAGAACUCUCUCCCAUUACACCCUUAGAUGGAGCACCUGCGCUAGUUAACGAAAUGCAUGUUUUUUUGAACACUAACGAAAUGCAUGUUAACUGACGCAUAAGGCGCCAGAUAGUAUUCGGUGUCAUUACAGUGGUUUCUUACGUAGUUCGGGAUAAAGUGACGCAAUACCAAUUCAGUUGCACGGUCCAGCCCAUCUGAUCCUCAAAGUGGCCCACCGGAGGCUCGUCAGUGAGGUGUAUAGCUGAUGCGGAAUUUCUAAAAAAAAAAGAUGAUGCGACACCACGCCAACUCCUUGGUGGCCAUUGAACUCUACCCUGGAAAGCAGAAAAGAAAAAUGCACGGAGUCUGAGAUCUAGUUGUAAAGUAUGGAUUAUUCAUCGGUGUUUGAAGAACCAAAUCCUCAACCAUGUAAAAAUAGACACAACUGUUCCAAGGCGGAGCAGGAGCUUCACAUUUUCCCCAGAUAUGCAAACCCAGGUGGCGAGCGCACUCUAUGGAAAUAUGUGUGGCGUGCAAAAGUUCCUCUUAAAGAUGCAUAUUACUGCAUGGAAAACAGCGACAUGAGCAUUUGCGACGGACAAGAACAGAGUAUGUGGGGCACCUUUCAACAAUUGGUCGUUGUAGACAUGCGAUCGUGACGUAGAGAGUUGACCAGAAAACCGCUACAGCCGAGCAAUACACACCAGCCACGAGGCUGCAUACCGAUCAAGCCGACGACUCCACCUGCCAAGUGACUGAAAUCGACACCCCACAACAUGACCCGAAGCCGCCACCCCAGCAUACAAAGAACACAUACACAUCGGUCCUGAGCCCAGUCACCAGCCGAGCCGAGCCGAGCCGAUGACUCUGCCACCCAAGUGACUAGAGCUGACACCCUCCAUUAUUUUUUUGAGUCAAACAACUCCGUUUGAGGCGACGACUCUGAGCCGACGCUGGGCCUCAACCAAAGGCCUAGCCGAAACCACCCUGUUCUGGGCCUCAUGAUAUUUUUCGCUCAGUUCGUGCAGCAACGCAGCCCAAGACCAUUUGGCACACCGCCCACGCUGCCAGCCUGGGCCCGCAUGGCCGGCUGCCUAUAAGACUAACGGCCAGUGAGAGGGAGGCCCCACCAGCCAGGAAGCAGCAGAGAGAGAAUUCAAAUUCCAAUUCCUCGGUGUCUCCCCAUUCCCCAACACCACCACCACCGCCACCCAAUCCGUCGCUCUCCUCCACCACCUCCUCCCCGCCGGCGAUCGCCGCCGAGGCCCUCCUCGGCGGGGCGCCGCUCCGGGACCGCGCGAUGAAGCUGAAGAUCAACAAGGCGUGCGACAUCGCCUCCAUCUCCGUCCUCCCUCCCCGGUACGGCCCCCCCGCCCAGGCCGAUCCCCUCCCCUCUCGCCGCCGGCUGCUCCCGUUCGUUCCGAGGCGUGCUUGGUUUAAUUCGUGCUCGUGGUGCGUUUUGUUGGUGGUUCAGGAGGACCGGAGGGAGCAGCGGUGGCGGUGGCGGGAUGAGCGCGCCUGCUGCUGCUUCCGCGGCGGCGGCGGCGCAGCAGCAGCGGUCCCAAUCGAUGUCGCAGAAGUCCUUCUCGCAGGGCAUAGGCAACGGUGGCGCGUCCUUCUCCCAGGCCAGAGGCGCGUCCUUCUCGCAGGGCAGCGACAGCGGAGGCGCCGCGUUCUCUCAGGUCGGUGGAGGCGGAGGCGCCGCGUUCUCUCAGGGCGGCGGAAGCGGAGGAGCCGCGUUCUCUCAGGGCGGAGGUGGUGGAGGCGCAGCCUUCUCUCAGGGCGGAGGUGGCGGAGGCGCGGCCUUCUCUCAGGGCGGUGGAGGCGGAGGCGCGGCCUUCUCUCAGGGCGGCGGAAGCGGAGGCGCGACCUUCUCUCAGGGCGGUGGAAGCGGAGGCGCGUCCUUCUCUCAGGGCGGUGGCAGCGCGCCGCUCGUGCACGCGCAGUCGCAGCUCUCGCAGGCCUCCCUCGACGCGAACCUCCUCAGCCUCCUCUCGCAGGCUCCCGCGCGCGACCAGGUCUCGUACACAUCAUCCCCCCUUCUUCUCCAAUUGUUGCCGCUGUGUGGUGAUCCAUGAUCGAGGCCGCGUUUGCUUCUACCAGUUCAGUUGGAUCACAUGAUCAGUGUGUUCGGUGAAUUUGAUCAGUCGGUAACUAGUAUGUCAGGUAACUAGCGAGUUUGCAUCGAAUUGAUUGGUGUUGGUUACUGUCAAUUAGUCGUUUCCACUGAAUCCGCUUGUGCUUGGUUAAUCUCUGAAGUGACCAUUUCAUCGAUCUUGUGUUUAGUCACAGUAGCGUUGCAACGAAUUUAUUAGUGUUGACUGUUGGUUACUGUUAAUUAGUCGCUUCCAGUGAAUCCGCUGGUGCUUGGUUGAUGCGUGGAACAAAUAGUUCAAGUCUCUGCAGUGACCAUUUCAUUGGGCAAACUAGUGAACUAAGUGUUAUUGCUUGAUAUCUCAAUUUGGUGCACGCGAGCAUUCAUGUACUGCAUUACUGAAAGUGUAAGGGGAACGACAUCCAUGUGAUCCUGUUCUGCUAGACUCUUUGAAAUGGUGAUUUUGAUCUGUAUGAUUUGUCGGAAUUGACGCCGUUCUGUGCACAGUUAGAAUGCAGUUACGAUUUAUUCAUAUUCGGCAAUGCAGAGGGAAUGCCCAAACCAACAGUUCUUGUCCUAAUAAAUGUUUGAGUCAGAACAGCUAUGUUUUUUGUUAUAUUUGCUAGUUACAGAAGGUGGAUUCCUUAAAAAAAAGUUAUAUAAUGUGCACACUUUUUAUCUGCUGCCCAAUUGUGAUCUUCAUUCUCUUUCCUUUGGUGACCAGAGAUUUGCCUUGCAACAGGACUCAUCCAAGAGAACGUCUUCAUAUCCUGCCAGUUCAGCUUCUUGUGUGCGCGAGGAAUCUCAGCUGCAACUGACAAAAAUACCAACCAACCCUAUCCACCGCUGGUGCCCCUCUCUUCUGGAUAGCAGAUGUAAACUCAAGCCCUUGCACUUGACAGAAUUUACAUUUUAUUCAUUUUUCUUUUGCAGAAAAUUACAUUUCAUUCAUCGCCAUAACAACAGUUCACAUGCUCUUCAAGCACACUAAUUUUGGUGUUCUGAAUAGGUUUACAAAAAUUCUCUCAUUAACUGGGCAUGUAAGGUCAUAUAGUGCAUGCUUUAAACAGAUAGUGACCUGAAGCUGUUCUAAACGUACAAUCUAGAUUUUAUUUUAAGAUGUCACAUUGUCAUGAUAUACUUGGAAGUAUGUUUCGACUAAAGUGCCCAGUUGAUGUUGUUUCGACAGGUCAGGUUAAUGAGGAAGUUGAGCGCAAGUUUCAGCAUCUGGCAAGUUCAGUACAUAAGAUGGGAAUGAUAUUAGACUCAGUGCAAAAUGAUGUGAUGCAGUUAAACAGAGCCAUGAAGGAGGCAUCACUAGACUGUAAGUCACCCCCUAAUGGUACUUUCGAUCAAUAUAUGGGCGAUCGUAAUUGCUGCUAUUUCUUCAUGAGUUUUGCACUCUAAUUCUGUUGCUUCCCACAAAUAGUACAUUAUCGACUAAUGAGAGCAUGUAUUCGCUUUGUUCAGCUGGUAGCAUUCAGAAAAAGUUUGUGCUCCUGGAGGACUCUCUAAAGCAAAUUGUAAGGAUAGUUGCUGGUUUAGUCCCUUUGUCCUUCUUCUUUUUGCUGAGGCAACAAAGUUUAAUUAACCCAAACAUGCUACCACAGCUUAAGGGACAAGAUGACCUCAGAGCACUCCUUGAAGGAAUCACAGAAAGUAAUCCUGACCAAGUGAGUGUUCUCAACUCUCUCAGCAGCAAACAGGAUGAGAUGUCCUUGUUACUUUCAGUCUUGCCAAACCAUGUGCAAAGAGAACUGGGGCAACUGAAGGGUGACAUCAGCAGAAUUUUCUCAAAGGAGAUGGAGGUACUACUGCUAAGAUCAACCACUAGCUUCAGGUUCACUUGUGUUUGGGAAUUAUUCUGAUGUGCAUAUAAGUAAUUAUCUUAUCUGGCUGAUUUACCACCGUGAAAAAAUCUCUCUUAUGUCCAUAUGUGUGAGUUUAGGUUCUAUGAAGGCAUAUAUAAGCUGGUUCAUAGCAUUUUCUUCUAUAUUUUUUUUUCAGGAAGCGUAAUUCCGUUUCUAUUCAUGAUAUCUAACACUAAAAAUUCUCAGUCUACACUAGGGCUUAUUUUUCAGCAUUUUACUGAAGUUAAAAGGAUUGCUUUUGAAGAACAUGCACAAUCUUGUAUAUCAUGUGGCAUGCUAAGACCCAUCACUUCACAUACUAGAGUAAAGCAACAAAUGUGUGUUUUGCUGACCUUUGCCUAUUUGGACAGGUGAUGGUUAGAGCUGUCAGAUCUGUUGAUACUAGGCUUGACCAGAUGCAAAUGCUGGCAGUAUGUGUACUUAUCACUCAACUAAUUGAAUUAGCAAGCCUUUCAGUACUUUUCUCCUCUUAUUCUAUUUCCCUUUCUUUGCUGAAGAACCAGAGCUGCACCACCAAUGCGAAACCCCUGAUGAACCAGACAAGAGUAGCCAAUGGAAGCUCCCUGAUGAUGCAGACACCAGUAGCAUAUGGAAGCCCCCUGAUGAACCAGACACCAGUAGCAGAUGGAGGUCCCCUGAUGAACCAAGGACCAGUAGCAGAUGGAAGUCCCCUGAUGAACCAAGGACCAGUAGCAGAGGGAAGGCCACGGAAGAAACAAAGGCCAGCAGCAAAUGGAAGGCCCCAGAGGAAGAAGCUAACACCAGUAGCAAAUGGAAGGCCUCAGAGGAAGAAACAAAGACCAGUAGCAAACGGAAGGCCCCAGAGGAACCAAAGACCAGUACCAAAUGGAAGGCCCCAGGUACAAACAGCAGAUGGAAGCUCGCACAUGAACCAGAAACCCGAAGCAAAUGGAAAUGGCCUGAUGAACCAAGUACUACCAGUAACACAAGCGUAAUCUUCUAACCUCAGCUUCUUGCAGAUCCAAGUUGUUAGAUAACCAGUAGUAUGCAUUGCUGUGGGAUGGGGCAUCAGUGUGAAAAUUGUCUUGAUGAAAAAUCGAAACGCAAACUGAACCUAUAAGUACCGACAUCGUCAAGAGGAAAACUGCAAGAUAUUCUUAUGUGCAGGAGGAUCUUGUGAUAAGAUGCUUCUCACUUUCUUUUGUUACAGAGCUACUAGUUUAAUUCUGGCCUUUGAAAUGUUGAAAUGUCCUCUUGAGGUUGGUAAUUAAAACGCCUGUACAGUAGAUCGUUAUCUCUGUUUUGACAGCAAGAUCAUAUUGUUGUGUUUCAGUUAUAUUGCCUCCACUUUUCAGAAUAUGCAUCUGCCUUUGCUUUAAUUUUCCCUGUUCCUGUUUGAUUUGAGAUUCUACUACGUACUAAUUAGGCUUGUUUGUCUGUCAGUGCCAGUGCUCCUGCACCCUUGGCUUAUCAGAGGAAGACAGAAGGUGUGAAGCCAAAUGUGGAGAAGGGGAUGGUAAAGGCUGCCACAGAAGCACGGAAAUUGGAUGGCUCAGGCGACAGCAGGCCGGCGCCACCUAAAGAGCAAGAGUUGGCGAUUCAGAAGGACAAUGCAGAUGCACAUGCGCCCAUCAACAAGGUAACUCGCGCCGCAACCUUGCUCGUUUCUAGCUCGAGUGAACAACCGUAAAAUGUUAGCAGAGAUGAGAUCACCUAACGCAAUGUCACUAGCUGUAGCCAAUGGCUCGAGACCAACACCGCUGAAUUUUUAUUAUUUGGCCUGAAAGAAGAGCACCACUGAUGAACUGAAUCAUUUGUCCUGAAAGAAGAACAUGAAUGAUUAACUGGCUGAACAUACUUGAGCAUACUUGGUGCCGCUGCUUCAUGAAUGCUCUGUAGUUUAGUUUGCCCCUGUUGAUCAAGCAAGUGCGGAAACAUCAUGUGAAACUGUGAAGUUGUUGUUGUUGCGGUUAUUGGCUGUGCGAUGAUGAUGAUGAUGAUGAUGAUCAUGGUUGUUGCGGAUGGGGGAAAACGCAGGCGAUCGUGACGAUUGUCAUCGACUCGGACGAGGAGGCGGAGGAGGGGAGCGCGUCCUGCGUCAUGCUGAAGACGGGAGCAGGUAGAGCUGGGCGCUGGACUGAACCUCCUUUCUCCUUCCACACCACUGUAUUAUAUGAUGAACCAAUGCGAAUGUGAGAGUGACUGUAUGUCUUGUGCAGGAGGUGCGGGAGAGGGGGAGGCGCUGGAGAUCCUGCGGCGGGCGAGGAAGCGCCGGCGGAGGGAGGAGGCCAACGCCGUCGCGCUGGACCACUGCUAGGCUAGACUGUUUAUUUAGUAGCAGCAACCCAACACGGUAGGUAGGGCGUGGCGUACAGAUGCAGAGGCGGGUCGACAGACAGUGGUUUAAGAAGAGACGAGGAAUCCAGGCGCGAUGCCGACGGGCAUGGACAUGGACAUGGACAUGAUCGCCUGAACAUAGACCGACCGCAGUGCAGCCGGUUGGUCCUCCGCUUGCAUUGGCCUAGCCAGCCUAGAGAGAGAGAGAGAGGUGGGCCGUUUUGAAAGGAGGUCGGUGCCUUUUACGCUGGCGGGCACGCGGGCAGUUUCGUCUGGAUUCCCUCCUCCAGUCCAGGGACGGACUGACUGACUCGCCGGAGAACAAUGCGUUAUGACUGCUUAAUGUGCGUGCCAGCGACGACAAGUUAGCCGCGGUCACAUACAUUUUCCGGGCAGGUUACCCAGGUAAGGAUAUGAUACUCCCUCCGUCUUGCGAGCGUUUUUUUUUUCACUAGUUUUAUAUUAUGAGACGGAGGGAGUAGUCGCACCUAUUCUUAAUCCGAAGUAGAAUGUGCCAUCUUGGCACUGAGAGGUGGGGGACCUCGGAUCUUCAAGAGUUCUAUAUUCACCCCAACAUUUAGUGGCCGUCAUAGGGGUUUUCCAAUAAAGUCACUCUAAUUCUUCCUCUGAUGGUGCCAUGGAGCUAGAGAAACCCGUGUCCUCGCAUAUCUGAUUACUCAAAUCUGAUGAGCCCAUGUUAUUGUGCCAUACUGUUUUUGUCGCUUUGAUGCUUUGUGGAGUCUAAAUCCUUUCUCGACACUACGGUGAAAAUGUUGUGGCUUGACGGCCUACGCUUCUAGGGGAUCAUCCCCAAUCCAGAUACGUUCACUGCACAAGGCUUUUCGUGUUUUCAGACGGGCAAUUCAAGGGGCUUUUAUAGAUAUCAUUGUAAUUCGUAGCCAUACGAGUUACUUUUUGCUAAUUUUCUUGAAUGUCGAAUCCAAAGUGAUUACCUUUAAUGGCUAUGAACAUGGACAGAAUACCAUGUGGUCCUCAAAAAACAAACAAAAACUCCUUAUGCGUGCCAAGGAAGGUUACCUGUGUUAAACAUACAACAUGUCACGUUACGUGACCGGCACAUCUCAUAGGAGAUAGUUGAGGUAGUUAGGUUGUUAGUUUUAUGUUUAUCUCAUGUAACCUCUUAUCUCUAUCUUCUUUCUUGAUCUCCAAGGUCGUAAUCCAAACCGCAUGUAUGCGCUGUUAUGGAAGGUGCGCCCCAUCUAUUUAACACGAAGCCGUCGGCCUGAGCAAGGCAAGACGUUCCGCUAGUUCGCACAUGGUAAUCAGAGCCCCAUCUCUUCCCAUCUACUGAGAUCCCAUCUACUAGAGCCUAGCCAUGUCUUCCUCCUCCUCCUCCGGCGCCUCCCAACCUACCCUCAAUGGACAGGUCACCGAGAAGCU
RNAcentral lists this long non-coding RNA (59881 nucleotides) under Triticum aestivum (bread wheat). Its description in RNAcentral is "long non-coding RNA (TAES_LNC004917)". The stretch from base 18921 to 19007 matches the Rfam family "MIR1120/MIR1122 microRNA precursor family". The record is from RNAcentral. Lineage: Eukaryota; Viridiplantae; Streptophyta; Magnoliopsida; Poales; Poaceae.